AAGAAAAGGGGACGCCCUAGGUCUUCGAAGCAAGUAUUAGAUGAAUAAAUAAGCAUGAGAAGAUCGUAGGCUGAUUCAAAUAUUAUGUAUGGAGACAGCUACAAAAGUGGAACUUCUAAAGCAACUAACCUUUAAAAAUAUAAGGUUUUGAAAGUGAUGUCUGCUUUUUCCAUCCAGAAUCAACAACUUUGUCAACCAUAGGAAUAUACUCAUCAUAUCGUGAUAAGUGACCAAGCUAGAUUUUCCAUUAGCUUUAACCUGAAAAACAGGGACUUGAGAUAAUCAGAAGAGAAAGGUUGAUCCUCUACAUUAAUUUUUGUGAGGGAUUGAGAAAGUGUCAACACUUUUCUAUGACAUAUUCACAUUGUAUAUGGUAAAGUUAUACCUUUCUUAAGAAAGGAAAAUUAGUUUUAUAGAAAAAAAUAUUUCUUACAAGGAACCGUGUGCUUAGUUAUAUUUCAUGAAGAAUUUGUACUUUAUAUCAUAAAUAAAAUCAUAGACAUUAUAAAUAAUAAUUAUCAAACAACUAAUGAACUCUUGAAUAAUGUCACUUUACUUGAUUUUUUUAGUAGCAAAAGAUUGCACAACCCGACCUCUAAAAAUUUGAUCUAAAUUUGAAUUCCAUGUAACUGGACACCUUUUAAGGGUAUACACAGAUGCUUUUAAACCAAUCAAAGAGACGAUAUUAAGCAAUUGAUAAUUUUGCACUUGUGUUGCAAUUAAGCAAAUACUAAAUGAUCUACAAGCACCAAAUUAAAUAUUUGCACAAGCUACCACCAGACUCAACACUAAAUAAGGGAGGAUUCAAUUAAAGUUAUAUAAAACAUUAUUUUCAAUAGCAAUAAAAGCACACAGGAUGCUCUGAUACCAGAUUUUGAGCGGAAUAGAUGAUAGGGUUGGACAAAACUCCCAAACCGAGCUGAACCAACCAGACUCGAAUCGAACCGAGCAGUUCUUCUUAAAUUAAAUACUCGAACGGAUAUUUGAAUCCAAAAUCAAUGAGUUCGUUCUCGGAUCUAAAUCAAGAACCGAAUCUUUCCAAUUUUUAAUUUAUUUAUUUUAAAAAAACAAAAUUAUUUUAUUUUUUCCAAAUUAAUUUGCUAACUAGUUAAUUUAGUUCAAACCCAAAAAUAUGAUUUACCUAUUUCUAAUUUUCAGUCCAAGCCCAACAUAAUCAAAUUGAUCUAAAUUUUAUCCAAAACUGUUAUUCUACUAUAGUAUCGUUUCUAUUGUUUUGGAGAAAUCAAACUGAAACUUGACAACGCCUCUCUUAAUUAUUGUGAGCUCGCUAUCUUCCUCUUAUUGUGAUUCUAACAAUCAAAACUACAAAGAAUUCAGCAAAGAGAGAUGCAAAAGAUACGUCAAAUUGGACUACAUUAUUUUGUAAGAAUUAAUAUUGAACAUGUCAUUAGUAGAAUUAGUGUAGUUUUGUAAAUAUUAAAAAAAUUAAUUAUAGUAGAGAACCUAGAAAUCAAAUGGAACAUAAUCGAACUAACCCGGAUAGAACCAAAUCCAAACGUUUCCACUUACUAAAUAUUCGAAAAUUUCGGGUCCGAUUCAGUUCUUGUUAAAAUUGAAUCGAACCGGACCAUGUCCAGUCUUAAUAAAGGGUCACCAAGGCUUUAUCUGGGCUCAAUUUCUCCAAUAAUCGACACCAUUAUGAAAUCAACCCAAAAUCCCUUAAACCACUUCUCACUUACGAUUGCUCAAUGUUCACCCACUUAGGAUGUGCACAGGAAGAGAUAAUACAAAGAAGAAAAUAGCAUAAAGACAGUGAAAGGGAGUAGUAGGCAGAAUUCAAAAAUAAAGCCCCCCGUUUUCACAUGCAGGGGAAAGAGAUAAAUAGUGAAAUCAUAUGACCAAGAGACGAGGUAGCCCAAGAUAUAUAAGUAUCAAUUAGGGUACAAUGAUGGGUCAAGCCCAAUAUUGAGGUUAGCGGACUGCUAAAUGGGUUACCAAAUGUUAGCCGUCCAAGUAAGUGAAAUGGGCUAUGAGUAGCAUUAAUUAAAUUAGGCUGCUUCAAAUGGCUAAAACAGUUUUUGGAUAGGGGUAUUUCAUUAUAGCUUCGAUUUUCUGUUCAGUCAUUUGUUCAAUAUCAAUUGAGAAAAUAUACCUAGUAAAAUCAUAGUCCGAAGAGGUCGUUUAACAACAAUUUGCUCAACACCAACUCUUCACACCAUGCCUCGCCCCUUAACUCUUUCCUAGUUUCCUUGAACCCAUCUGGUAAAACGACCGAGCAAGACUCGCCCCAGCCGGAUGGCUCCCUCAAUACCCAAAGGAAGGGGAAUAACAACUCCAAUCCAAGAGCUAACUCAUUGAGUUGAUCCUGAUUCGGUGUCACCUCACUCCCUAAAGUAACGUAAACAACUGACCGUUUAUUUUGAUGAUCAAGCCAAGUUUUGAUUGAAACCCAUGAUUGACUGUAAUCUUCUUUCACUUGGGGGUGGCAUUAAACCUACUGGAAUCACUAGCUUACGGUGAAGCUCUUUGAGUAAUUUCAACCAGACCAAUUCAAACUCAUUGUAGUGUCUUAUGAAAAUAGCCUCGCAUCCAUCAAUUACCUUACCAUUACGAUACUUAUCUGAAACUCAUGACUCAUUCUGUCGAGUUGCCGUGAUAAUCCAGUUUGCUUCGUAUCGUCGAUAAGACGCUUUUGUCGCAAACCGUACCUACUUUGGGGGAAUUAUGAAAUCUUAUACUCUUCUCCUCUCAUCAAAGCCGUCAAUCCUGAUCUUUGUUGAUCCGAGAAAUGCUAAAAACCAUGCGUUAAUGAUCAUGGAAAAGGCAAGAGAAAUUCCACGUUUAAUGGGUUGUCUAUAGUUGAAUUUGUAGCAUGAUUUUGUUGGGUUGCCAUUGACAUUUACCUAGAGAAGCUCUACUUUUAACAAAGAGAACAAGGUGAAUUCUACAUUUUGGUUCAUCAAUGCUUGCUUACCCUGGAUUGUGUAUAUUAAUUGUUUUUAUACGAUUACAAUGCAAACAAAUUGUCAUAAUAGCUAUAUUUUUGGUGUCCUACAGAUUUUCUCAUUACCUAUAGAAGCUAAUCCAAAUUUAGAACAUAAAAUUUGUGAAAGUCAUGUGUUCUUUCUCGAAUCUACAAACCAAGAGGAUCAACAGAAACUCCAAAUGAUGCAGCCAUGGAAAUUAAAGAGGGCUCUAUUUUAGCAACAGACACCACAUCGAUCCUGUUAAAUAUUUUUCAUCAUUUUGCAUGUAUUUAUUUCUGUUUUGCGAAUGAUUUGCUUCCCCGACUAGUGUUUGCCGUUGCGCAACGAGGAUCGACCUGUUCGAUUUUUAACAGUCACCUCCAAUAGAUGUAUGCAAGGAUUUCAAGGGACACACUUAUUCAAACGGUUGCUUCAAUUUCUAUAAAUUCUCGGCGAAUUCUCGUUUGCAAAACACAUUAAAAAAUUUAUUCUUCUUUCUUUCUCUUGGCAUCAAUCAGUUAUUUUCGAGUAUCUUCUUAGUUUGAUCAAAUAAUCACAAUUUGAAUCAAACGUCUCCAUUAUAUCCUGAGAGAGAUUUUCUAUCAUACCCCAGUUUGUAACUUUGUUGGAUAGGGGAGAAAUAUCUCUUAAAAGAUAACGUUUUUUCGUGCCUUGGAGUUCAUUAAGUAUUCAGAUUUCCCUACAUUUUUCUCAACAGAUCCAUCAUGAUGAAGCCUUCUUGAUCGAAUAUUCCCUUUUGAGUUCAGGUUUACAGUAUCCUGUUAGUUCACAUAAAGGCAGACAUUGAAGAAAUAGGCGGGAAUCAUAUCGGGAAAUUUUUGGAGGUUGACAGAGAUCAAACUUGUUUGUGAUGGCUGGAUGCCAACUAAAAUACUUAUUGGGGAGUUGCAGAAAUAUUGAAGUCAUCCCCGAUCAAAAACUAAUGUGAUUUCGAGGACAUUUACAUAGUGGACGUCACAUUGGUUUUGAAGACAAUUAUGCAAUAAUUUACGUAGAAUAAUGCUAUCUGGAGGAAAAUUUAGACAUUAUGAAUCCUCUUGAACUAAAUCUUAACCUUCGGCUUGGAGUUGAAGAUCAAAUGUUUAAACUUGAUUUUAAUGUUAGAAGUAACAGACUUGUGCUCCUUAUGGGGAAAUUUUAGGAAUGGCAACCGGAUAAGAGUUAUAACAUCUUAAUUUCACGUCGCUCUUUUUCAUUUACUUAUUUAUUUAUUUUUUGAUAUUUUAACAUAUCAUUAAAUCUAAAAAUUGAAAUUAAAGAAUAAGCCUAUCCACUCCCGAAUUUCCCUACUAACUGGAAAAAUCCGUGUCCAAAAUUUAUUGUUAUUUAUUCUCAUGAUCAGUGAACUUGAACCUGAACUAUUAAUUACGGUAAGAUAUUUCUUCCGGGUAUUAAUGGCUAUAUAGACAACCGAUUGAAUGGGAAAAAAAGCACCAACAGUUCUCCAUUCUUCUCUCUUAUUCUCCAUUUUCUCUUGUGCAGCAGCAUAUUAUGUUUAUUCCCAGUUGAUAGUGGUAUCAGAGCCCUAUUUAGACCAAAUCUUUCUGUCCUUUCAGGUAUCCUGCAGUGCAAAAAUCCAAUCCAUUUUGCAUUGAUUUAUUCAUUAUUAUAGGAGCAAUAACAAUUAAAAACUCAUUUAGAUUUUUCCCCCUUUCCUGAUAUAUAUAUAUAUCGCGCGGGUAGUCGCUAACAAUUAAAAAAGAGAUCAGACGAUUGUGUAAGGAAAAGACAUCUUGAGACGAAAUUUCAAAAAGGGGUGUUUUAUUGGCGAUGAUUUACAAUUGAAAGUAAACAGAAUGCUUCCGAGGGGUGCAAGCACACGAGUACUAAAAGAAGUAUUUAAAUCUAAAUUAAGAAAUUAAAAUUACAUAUUCUCUAUUUGAGAAUGUUUGAUUUGAGAUCCUUUUCUCUAUAUCUUCUCUUCCUUUUAUAUUCCUUUGAUGAUUUUUUCGUGACAAACCGUUUGGAAAUUGUUUGAUUACUAUAUAACUACCUACUUUCUUUAUGGUGGCUAACUUGCCGUGAAACUGUCGUCUCUAACUGUUGUCAUUACUCUUUGUCGUUCAACCGCCUUCAACUGGGCUCCUUGAAUCGUGGAAUGUGAUAAGAUCACUCAAUAACUGCUCUUCUCGAUAACCAUAAUGUUUUGUGCUUGCUAAUAUCUUGGACGAAUCGAAGGUUUGGGUGAGAACGGGGUCAUCGCUCUGAGCGAUCGUAAGAUACUCUAUUCGCUCAAAUUCUGGGCGUCUUGCAAGCUUGGGCGAUGAUGUUACCGUGUUUGUGGGCUUCCACCGCAUUCAUCAAUAAUCCUGUUUGGACCUUUAUCCUGAAUUCCCCAAUUGGGCUUCACUCUUUGGGCUAUUUGAUUUGGGCUACACUUUUAGUGUGUCAACAAUUACCUCCCAAUAUGGCAGAAUUAAUACCAAUUAUUAAUCUUUGCCAUAUUCACUUUGUAUUUUCCAGCAAUAUUUGAAAUUCUCAAGAAUUUCAAUCAUUAUUUCCUUCUCCAGCCUGGAAAGGUGCAACGUUACAAACCCUUAUAAAUCCAAAACACAUGCCAUUUUAUCGCACCACUAAACCACGUCUCUAUAUUUCGUGCUUCCUCCUCGCUAUUUUACUGUUCAUCUUCUUGUUUCUCUGCUACGUUUCUCAGGCAAACCUUAACAAAACUGUAUUUUGUUCCCAAUGGCGACUUCACAAACUCAAUCUGAUGACUCUUUUAUUUCCAGAAAAUCCUUACUAGGCCGUAUGUAAAUCCAAACUUCCUUGUACAAGCUAAUGCUGACCUCAAUGAAUUCUAUCUGGGUCCAUCGUUCAAUAAUACCGAAGCCAUUGGACAAGUGGUGGUGGGUCAACUGUUCCCUUGUACUCAAGGUCCUCCGUUCCUGAACUCUCUGCCAUUGAGGCCGAUUCGCGAAAAAUGUAUUCGCACUUAGCCCAAAGUUGAUGUUAUUUUUCGUAGAUGGCAUGCACGUCUUGUGAAUCAUGGCCCUACCAAAGCGAUUUUUGAUCGUGUUAGGAUUUCAGACUUAUUAGAAAUCACUCUUCAACCCCCAAUUUUCGACCCAGUGCUUUUUCCUAUUACUUUAAGGGAUGUUGGAACCCUAGUAAAUCUUCCGCCUUUGGGCGGUACCAUCUUUCCUGGUAUCUUGAUUUCCAGUGUUGCUCCGAAAUUUGACAAGAAACUUACUGAGUCCUAUUCAAGCCUGCAAGGCUUUUAUAAUCACUCAAGCGCUGAACCUUCUCAUGCUGAGCAUGUGGCCUUUCUUCAAAUUUGACUCUGUAAAUAUAUUCUAUGCGUGCCAAGUAUGAAACUUUCUAUGAGCUACUUACCCAUAGCGCAUGAAUUGGCGCGUAGUAGGCCUUUGAACUUAUGUUCCUUCUUUUUAACUACCCUUUAUAGAGGCAUGGCUUCCCUUCAAUUUCAACUGAAGAAUGGUGCAUCUCCCAUUGGUAGUGGGCCCCUUUGGUUCACUCAACUGUGGUUGAGAGCAUACUUUCCACCACUUGGUGCUCCAUCCAUUUUCCUUCAUUCUGCUAGCUGCUAUGGGCUAGCCAUUGAUCCACUGAACCCUGUAAAUAUGUCAAGUAGGGACAUUUUUUCAUUCUUUUAUACCUUAAAUUCGAUUCCUUCCUUCUUUCAUUUUCCUGCUCACUUGACUCCAGAUUAUGUACAACCUCCAUCCAUCCUAGACAGUGCGAGUGCCUCUCUGCUUGUUUGGGUUCAGUUUUUGAUUGGGAGGGAAUUGUUCCACGAUAUUUUAACUGGAACCAAUGCUAAAGCUGAGGUUGAAAUAUAUGCUCCCUAAUUUUUUGCUCGCUAACUUGGUUUUGGCCAAACUUGGCCUGUUCCUCCUUGCUACUCCAAAUAUUUGACAGACCGUUUUCACACUAUUAAUAAGGCAAAGGCACAAGCUAUGGAUGCUCGCAACAUUUUUUUGACGAGCAAAUUUUCAUUAGCUCCUUUCAAUUCUAGCUGUGCCGUCCAUCCUCUUUUUGAACAGCUUUGGUCAUCAGUAAAACGCCGAUUGUUUGUAACUGAUGCUAAUCGUGCCUUCCAUUUACUGGACCAGCUAGGCACUCCCUCUAUUUCUCCUAUUUUGGUCACCCCUAUGUCCGUUAGAAAUCCUUCCUCCCUUACUCACGCUAAACAUUCUAUCCAUUCACCUGCUUCUCUACCUGCCAAUGCUACUGCAGCUAAAGGUGCCUUAAACCGCAAACGGCCAGCUUCAGCAUCUCCCAUUUUGCAAGACGAUAAUGAUGAUGAUGAUGACGCUCCUCUCAUCCCUACGAGAAAGGUAAUUGAAUUUGUUUAUUCACAAACAUACUUUUCUAUGUACUAAUGGUUUACUUGAAUUUCUCAGAAAAGUUUAGCCUCUCUUUCGAAGGCUUUGGUUUUGGUAGCUCCUGCUCCAUCAUCUUCUGCUGAAGCUGCUUCGUCCAAAUCAGCUGAUGAUGGGAUUAUGCUUAAAGAGAAACCCUUAGUCUCGGAACCUUCAUCACAACCAGUAGAAGGGCCACCUUCUUCCCAGGGCGCCGACCCCCCAAACGUCGAACCAGAAGGUAAUACAUAUUUUGAUCUUUUACCUUUACUUGUGCUACUGGUUUCUGAUUCGUUGCUUCUUGAAUUAUACAGAGGCUCCUAUGGGCUUGCCCGUUGUGGCAGAGUUUUCUCGCCCAGAUAAGGAGAAGUCCCCACAGGUGGUGGAGCCAACUGCUGAUAUGCCUGAACUUCCCAAGAUUGCUGAUGAGGUAACAUUUUGCUUCACUUUCAUUUUCGCUUCGUUUAUUGUAGUGAAAGUCCUGAAUGUUGGCAUUUUUCUUUGCAGGGUGCUGAUGACAUUGUGCAUUCCAUCCAGGACUUGUUUACUUCCUAGGGACAAGUCAAGACGUCUCGCCCUACUUCAACCAGUCAUCCUUCUGCUUAUUCAGAGGAAAAUAUGAAGUUUUUCAAGUAGUCGGUACUUGAGUAUGUGUCUUUUAUGGACAUGGAUAUCGGCCGGGCUAAUGCUACUAAACAUAAGGAUAAGUUUGAGCUAUUGAGUGCGAAAUUGGCGCAAGCACUUACACUUCCGUCGCUCAUGUUUUUGCUGACUUUAAAGCGACGUUGAAGGUUGUUCACUCUGACAUCCUCUCCUUGCUAGUCGAAAAUGUUGAAUUAAAGGUAAGGAGUACUCAAUAUCUUCGUGCUGCAUCUGAAAGAGAGUUUUUGCUUCUAGAGAUUAACAAAGCCGAGAACGAAUUGAAAGAAAUCUCUUCCGACGUUAUGAUCGAAGACUCUUUGAUUACAAGUUUGGCUGUAGAGAUGAAGGAGCUUUAAGCAAAGAUGGACGACUGUAGGGCGAGAAUGGCUGCUAAAAAGCGUAAUGCUUCCCAAAGAAUUGAACGAACCAAGUCUUCACUUGAGCAAUACAAAAAGCUGGAGGUUGAUGAUGAUUUUGUAGCUGAAUUAAAUGUCGUUUCUUCUCAACAGACCGAAGAUUGGGGAGACUUCGGGAAAGAAUUCGUUCGCCCUAGGGUGAAUUGUAAUUAAGACAUCCAAUGCCUUAACUUUCCUUUUGUAACUUCGCACUAAUUGCCAUUGCUAAUUUUGAAUGUAACAGCAGUUAUCGUCAUUAAUGAACGACUAAUUUGUCUACUUGCGUAUUAAUUGACACUGUCCUUAAUCGUCAACCUCCAAAACAUUUAAUUGUUUUAUGCUAAGAUUCAUGUACAUUCUUCCUUGGUAUUUCUGUCUCUUUUCCCAAGACUUGGGGCCAUUUGAUUUCAGUUAUUAGGCACGAAUAUGGCCAUUUAUAUUCUAUCUUUUCACCUUCACGCCUCUAUAAAUGCGUGUGUAUUUCGCACUCAUCAUUUUCAUUUCCAUUCUUUUCUUCAAAAACUAAUCUGCUGUCAUCGUUUGGCAUCUCAACAAUUGAUCCAAAAUUUUCGUCUUCCAUAGAAAUGGAUCAUUUGAUCCACCCAUUUUGCUAUCUGUUUUGAUGUCACCUUUGGUAUGGGAGAUAUAGGAAAUAUUCUUUGACCAGCUAAGUUCUUCCCAUCGUCUCCAUGUUCUUUAUAAGGAGUUCAAUGAUGGAAGGGAAUUUUUGAGGAUGCUUUUCAAGCCACUUUGCUUGCUGAGAGUGCUUCUCAAUCUCUUUGCCCAUUAUUGUAGCAAUGCGAUCAGGACGCAAUCAAGGCCGGUUCACCCUCUUGCUUGACGAUCGAUCGAGAAAUUAGUUUGCUCUCAAUUGUAGCUUAUAGAGUAUUUAGUAUUUUGUAUCUCACAAUUUGUAAUGAAUAUUUGAUAAUAAAGGAAUUUAUUUGAACGUAUUUCGUUCCGGCCUUAUUUAUCUACGAUCGUUCAACGCAAUUUGAUUACGCUUUUAUUUGUUCAUUCUCCCAUAAGGAAGGAACAUACUUUUUUAAAUAUUUGUCAUUAAUGAACCUCAUGUGCUUGGUGCCAUCUAAAUCUUCUAAAUGAUAGGUUCCAUUAGGUAAUACACUAUUUACUUUAUAUGGCCCUUCCCAAUUGGGCGACCACUUGCCAUACUUUGGAUCCUUGCUAUCCAAAGGGAGUAUUGUUUUCCAAACCAAUUCGCCCAGGCUAAAUGACUUGGCUAUAACAUUUUUAUUAUAAAACUUAGCCAUCCUUCGUUUUUGAACUUGCAAUCUAUUUAGGACGUCCAACUUUAAUUCGUCCAACUCCAAUAAGUUUUGAACUAGUGAUUCGGUAUACUCACCAUCACUUAACUUAUGUUGCAAACACACUCUAAUUGAUUGCACAUUGAUUUGAUUUUCAUAGGCAAAAUGGCCUCCUAUCCAUAAGUAGGAAAGGAGUAACUUUGGUACUUGACCGAGGCGACGUCCUAUAAGCCCAAAAGGCCUUGUUUAGACAUUCGUGCCAAUUUUUGACAUUUUCAUCUAUCAUUUUCAUUAUGAUAUUUUUUAGAAUCUUAUUAAAAGAUUCUGCUUGUCCGUUAGAUUGAGCGUAAUAUGGUGUGGAGUUUAUUAAUUUAACUCCAAACUCGCUCAAGAAUUUAUUCAUUUGAUUUCCAUUUAAAGAAGUUCCGUGAUCUGCCAUCAAAGUUUGUGGAAUCCCAAAUCUAUAAAUAAUAUGAUCACGGAUAAAUUCUAUGACGCUCUUUUGGGUGAUCUCCUUUAAAGGUAUCGCUUCUACCCACUUAGUGAAAAAAUCAGUUGCAACUAUAACAAAGGUAUGUUGUUUAGACGAUGGGGGAUAAAUCUUCCCUAUCAGGUCAUCGCCCAACCCUUGAACGGCCAGGGUUUGAUAAUGGGUGUCAUCUCUCUUGCUGGCGCCCUUUGUAUUGGACUAUGCUUUUAACAUACUAGACAACUCUUCGUAUAUUGAACACAUGAUUUUCCCAUCUUGGGCCAAAAAUAUCCAUUCCUAAUAAUUAACCAUCUCAUCUUUUGUCCAGUUUGAUGAGCUCCACAUAUCCCUUCAUGCACUUCAACCAUGAUUGUUCUGGCUUCUUGCAAACUUACACAUUUUAGUAAUAUACCAUCAGAGCGUUUCUUAAACAACUCUUCAUCUAUCAGUGUAGAGUUCAGCAAACGCAACUUCAUUUUUCUACUACCUCCUUUAUUAGGUUCUUUAAGGAACCUUUUAAUCUCUGCCCUCCAAUCUAUUGCAUCUCCAUCUUGUAUGCAAUGAAUUUCAAUCUUUCUCGCCCUUCUUUGGACUACGGGCAAUAUUACUCUAUAUUCAUAAGUAGAUUUUCAAUUUAAAACCUUUGAAUACCCUGAGGCCAUCUGGGCCAAUUCAUUUGCUAUGUCAUUAUAUAUCCUAUUAACAUAUUGAAGUUCUACUUGGUCGAAUUCUUCCAACAAUUCUUGGGUGAUUUUAUAUUGACUUAUAAUGGAAUCACUUUGACACUUAAAAUCACCGAUCAAUUGGUGAAUUACCAAUUGAGAAUCGCCUCUAACGAUCACAUUCUUUACCUCCAUAUCUAUCAUUAAUUCUAAGCCCAUGAUUAAGGCUUCAUAUUCGGCUUGAUUGUUGGUGCACAUCCUAUCCAAAAUAAAUGCGAACUUAUAACAAAUCCCUAAAGGAUUUAUCAAUGCUACUCCUACUCCUGUACCUUUAGAGGUUUUCGACUCGUCGAAAUAUAAAACCCAAGGUUUUAAUUCGAAUGAAUUGAUUUCUAAUUCAAUUUCUUCAGGCAUGUUAAGGCAUGGAUGAUCGGCCAGAAAGUUAGCCAAAGCUUAUUUUUUAUUGCCUUUUGGGGUAUGUAUUGUAUUUCGAAUUCUGAUAAUGUUAACGUCCAAAUGCCUAUCCUUUGGUGUAAAAUAGGGCGAGAGAACAUAUAUUUAACGAAAUUUAUUCUAAAAAUCAAAUAAACGGUCGCGGGCCGUAAAGAAGCCCUUAAUUUCGUACACGUGAAAUAAAAUGCAAGACAUAAUUUUUCAAUGGCAGAGUAAUUACAUUCACAUUUUGUUAACCGUCUACUCAAGUAGUAAAUCGCCCUUUCUUCACCAAAUUGGUCUUCUUGCGUGACUAUUCCAACUAUUGAUUCUUGUUCAGUCGAUAUAUACACUUUCAUUGGCUGUCCUUAGAUUGAUGACACCAAUACUGGUGGACUUAAUAAAUAUGUCUUUAGGCUUUCAAAAGUUUUUUGAUGCUCUUCUUUCCAGACGAAUUCGUCCUGAUUUUUCAGCUUUAAAAGUAGCAAAAAAGCUUUAGUUCGUCCUGCACAGUCAGAAAUAAAGCGUCUUAAAAAAUUUACUUGGUCUAGGAACCUUUGCAAUUCUUUUUUAUUGCUAGGUGGUUUGGCCUCUAAAAUGGUCUUCGCUUUAUUUUUAUCAAGUUCAAUCCCCUUUUAUGUACUAAGAAAUCAAGGAAGUUUCCUGCAUUAACGCCAAAUGCACAUUUCAAGGGAUUCAAUUUUAGUUUAUAUUGUUUCAUUCGCUCAAAUGAACAUCUCACUUGUUCAAAAUGGUCCUCUUCUUUAAUGGAUUUGACCAUUAUAUCAUCUACAUACACCUCAACAAACUUGUCUAUCAUAUCAUGAAAAAUCAAGUUCAUUGCCCUUUGAUAAGUCGCUCCUACAUUUUUCAGGCCGAAAGGCAUAACUACCCAUUAAAAACAUACUAGAGAUCCAAGGCACCUAAAGGCAGUUUUGUGUAUAUCUUCAUCAGCUAUAUAAAUUUGAUUGUAUCCUGAAUACCCAUCCAUGAAAGAAUAUAUUACGUGUCCGGUAGUUGAGUCUACUAAAAAAUCUACCGUAGACAUUGGAUAUUCAUCUUUGAGUGUGGCUAUGUUUAGGUUCCUAUAGUCUAUGCACACCCUUAAUUUUUACCAUUCUUUUUUAGCACUGGCACAUUACUGGACAACCACUCUACAUAUCUGGCUGUUCUAAUAAAGCCUGCUUUUAAUAAUCGCUCUAUUUCUUUCUUAAUCUCAGGAAGUACAUUAGGAGCAAAACGCCUAGAAGGUUGCUUAUGAAGUUUAAAAUAUGGCUUGUUUGGCAAUCUAUGUUCCACCAAAUCUCUAUCUAAACCAGGCAUAUGUUCAUAUUUCCAAGUAAGACAAUCCUUAUAUUCCUUUAAUAAAGCGAUUAAUUUAUCACUAAUCUCUUGAUCGAGCAUCUGGCUGACGAAUAUUGUGCGAUCUUCCCCUUCAUUGCCAAUAUUCACUUUAAUCAGAGGGUCUUGUGCUUGAGCGUAUCCAGGCUUGGUGAUCCUCAUUACUUCAUCGUCCAUUUCUCUUAUAGGCACUUCUUCUUCUAAACAAUCCACCUUGUUGACUUCUCGGCCAAUACUUUGUUCUAACUCGAACACUGUCAAUUUGUCUCCCAAUGCUUUCAAGGCUGCUUCUUCUUUCGUCUUGUCUUUACACUCUGUAUUGAAAGCCAUUAAUUUGACUUUGAAGGCCUAAAUAUCGGCCAUUUACCUUUGUUGCUUACAACUCAUUUAAAACUUCUUGAUUACUUUUUUGCCAAUUACUGGCUCUUUCAGGGCCACUAUGUUUAGCCUCAUUUGACUGAACAUUUCAGUGAGUGCAUCUACCGAAAACGGCUCUUCGCUCUGUGCAACAAUUUGAGUUUCUUCUCCAUCUUGGACCACUCUGACAGGUCUGUAAUUUUCUUCGUACAUGAAACUUUCCACUGAGUUUGCUUCUGUGACAAAAGGUCUAUGAUCUGUCUGCACCACUUCUACUUCACCCUUGUCAUUCCAGAAAAUUAGGCAUUGAUAGAGCAAUGAAGGUAUGCAGCGACUUCCGUGUAUCCAAUCCCUUCCUAAUAACACAUUGUAAUUAGAAGGACCAUCUAUUACGAAGAAGACUGUGGUCCUAGUAGUUGUCCCUACAGUUAUGUCCAAUGGCAUAACCCCUUUAACUGAAGUUGCUCCUCCAUUGAAACUUGUAAGGAUGACUUCUAUUGGAAUCACAUCACUUUCUGUCUUUGCAAAUUUCCUCAUCAUCCUAGAUGGAAUGGUGUUUAUAGCUGCUCCAUUAUCGAUAAGUACUUUCGCCACAGGUAUACCAUUAACUAAAGCCUUAACGUACAAUGGUCUCAAGUGUUUAGUUAACUUCAUGGCUGGUCUCUUAAAAAUAACCUUUUCGACAGCAUUUAUUUCCACUUCCUGCUUGUUCUCUGUUGAAUUAUCCUUUUGUGAUAAGUCAACGUGCAGUAUGUCGCACUGAGCUUCCACUUCCUGAAUUACCUUUUUAUUGUUUUCUAAUGCUUCUUCUUCGGUUACCCAACCUGUGGGAGGAGGCAUUAUUGUUGGAGGUGAUCCAUACUUUUCAGAGCGAGGUACUCUCCUUUUUCUCUUGGGUAUCCCAUACAACACAUAAUAAUUGAAAGAACGUCCAGAUGGUUCUCCCAACAAAUCCACUUCACGAACACCUUUUCUAUGUAGUUGCUUCAACAGGGUAUUGUGCGAUACUCCUCUCUUUUUUCUUUCUGCUUCCAGAUUAAUUUCCUCUUCGAUAUCCGUCAUACCAUCAUCCUCUUCAUCAUUGUAUGCCCCUCUAGAAGUUUGACCUUCUUCACAUUCCAGCACACAUACUUCUUCUUCGUUAUCCUCCUUUUCUUCUUCUUCUUUCUUUUUGUUCUUGAACUCAUUGGCUAGUAAAUAGUUAUUAGCCAUGACGGGAGGUAACGUACCGAACUGAAUAGUAAGAGGCUAAUCUGGAUCUUCUUCAUCCCUUCUGUCUCGCCCAAACUUCGAUCUCCCAGAAGAACUCUAUGGCAAUUCUUCCAUCGAUUCACCUGUACCAGUCUCUUCACUAUCUUUGAGAACAUUUUGAUUGGCUACCUCAAGUAGUUUAGGCACCUUAGGACGUGGCACUCCCUGUUGUUGCCUCAUCAUUCGUCCAUAAUUCCGUUGAAAACGCCUUUGUUGGGUUCUAGUCAUCUCGUUGAAGGGUGUCAUCCUUUCUACAUUAUAUUGGAACGAAUGUCAUACAUUUGGUUGGCGAGGUUGCGGCCUGAAUGUUCUCCCAUUAUUUAUUGACCUGAACUACCUUUCAAAAGGUAGUCCCCUAUAGAAUGAUGUACCUCGCCCUCUAACAGGCUGAGAAUUUGGGAAAAAACUAAGGCGAUGGUGGUGCUGCCAUAUCCUUGAUUUCUCCGUAUUUGCACUUACUUCUCUUUUACAUCUUGCACAAAGGACGUCUUCAUCCUUUUUAGGCUCCUUCCCUUUGAUACGUUCAAAGACAAUGGGGUGUGGCCCAGGGUCCUCUUCUCCGUCAUCUAUAACCAACUUGAAUUUUCGCAAUUUAUUUUUGAACCCAGUCGUCACCAUGUUCACCCCAAGUGGCUGUGGAAAAGGGUUUUCAUUCACUAUCAUCUUCUUCUUAUCCUCGAAUGUAAUUCGUCCUGAUUCAAUGGUGUCCUGUAACACAUGGCGAAAAACCAAACAGUUGUUAGUCAAAUGCGACCAUGCAUUACGCCACUUAAAAUAUUUUUUACCCUUGAUUUGUUCAGGGCUUGACAACUUAUGUUUAUCGCUCAACUUCAUCUGCUUAUCCUUAUAUAGUUUAUCAAAUAUAAGGUCAGCUUUGGUUACAUCGAACGAGAACAUUCUAGCCUUUUUGUUUUUAUCUUUCAUAGGCUUAUCCUUGCCGGACGAUCUAGACUUAGCCAUUAUAGGACAAGUAUACGCGUCUCCUUUGAUUAAUUCGGUCAAACACUUUUCGAUUUGAUCGUAAUACUCCUCGUUAAUGGUAUGAACAUCAAAAUUUGGGUCUCUAUAAUAAGUCUCCUUGUUAGAAUUUUUCAUUUACUCUUCUUCUCUUAUUAAUCGUUCAUACCUAAUCACGUUUGCGCUCAAUUGAAAAAGAUCAGGAAAAUCCCUGUCUUGGAAUUUCUUUUUCAAAUCAAAGCUUAGACAACUUUGAGCAAUUUUGACAAACUCCUUUUCGGGCAAAGGUACAAAAUAUUUACUUCUUGCUGUCUUGAACCCUUGAAGGGAACCUUCUGCCCAUUCGUUUGGCAUUUGACGUAGAUUCGCCAAAUCGGCCAAAGUAACUUCAGACUCAGUCUUAUAAAACUGAGCAUAGAACAAUUGCUCCAAUUGUUGCCAUGUUUGAACAGAGUUCGCUGGCAAAUUGAUGAACCAAGAGAAAGCUACUCCUGUUAAUGAACUAGGGAACAACCUCAUUUUAUGGUAAUCGGUUACUUCACCACUUUGCAGUGUGAAUCGCCCUAUGUGUUCUAGAGUAGGCACCUCUCCUAAAUAAGUAAAAAAUGAGAAUUCUGGCACUUUAUACUAUCUAGGCCAUGUAUAUGCUUGGUAUACCCAAUCAGGAUAUGGCUUUGUGUAAGUCGGCCUAAUGACAGGACGUACCUCAAAAGCCAUUUGAUCCUGUACUAUUUCCAUAAUUUGAUUUCUCAACAUGACGUUGAGGUCAUAUGGAAUUCCUACAUGUUGGUUGAUUGGUUGAUUUGCCUGAGGCCUGAUAUUUGGUCCUUGGUUGGCAACAAAGUUGCCAUGAUUUGGGUCAUUGUUACCAUUAGCAUGAAUAUUAAUUCCAUCAUUGACACGUGGGGUAUUCUGUCCAUUAUUUAGGACAUUGUCUCUUAUAUUUAGGUUACCCCCAAGUUAGAUGUAUCAUUACCACUAUUCUGAUUUGGCAUUAUACCAUCCCCUGAUUUGAAGUAGGUGGACCAAAAGGUGGUUCUAUCCUCUGAUUUGGACUUAGGACUGGGGAAUUAUAUCCCACGAUUGUCCUAGUUUGAAAGUGAUUUUUGCAAUAGGCACAACUGGUUGACAAAUUUGGUCUACUAACUUAUUCAUUAUUUCAUUUAAUGUAUUCGGUUGUUUGACCAUAUUGUCAUAAUGUGCAUUUCCAUUCUGGGUUAAUCUUUCCAUAUUAUGAACAUUUCAUAGAUUUACCUGUUCAACGACAUCCUGUGUGAGUUCUCCAAGCAAUGCACUCAUGGUUCGAGGACUCAACUUUGUCAUUGGUUCAUAACGAUUGUGACUGCUCUGACUUUGUCCCUCUAUUCGUGGAGAGCUUUGCUGCUCCUCAUAUCGCUCGAUCACAGACUGGACUCCUCCCUAACUUGCUGCUUCCUUAUCAGAUUUAUGAGGCAUAUUGUUUCACCUUUUGUAUCUUUAACACCAAACACCAAUGUCCCACUGGGCGUGCCAAAUUGUUUCGCGCAUAUAGUCGCUAACAAUUAAAAAAGAUAUCAGAUGAUUGUGUAAGGAAAAGACCUCUUGAGACGAAAUCCCAAAAAUGGGUGUUUUAUUGGCGAUGAUUUACAAUUGAAAAUAAACAGAAUGCCUCUGAGGGGCACAAGUACACGACUAAAAGAAGUAUUUAAAUAUAAAUUAAGAAAUUAAAAUUACAUAUUCUCUAUUUGAGAGUGUUUGAUUCGGGAUCAUUUUUUCUAUGUUUUCUCUUCCUUUUAUAUUCCCUUGAUGAUUUUUUCGUGACAAAUCGCUUGAAAACUGCUUGAUUGCUGUAUAACUACCCACUUUCUUUAUGGUGGCUACUGCCGUCUCUAACUGUUGCCAUUACUCUUUGUCGUUCAACCGCCUUCAACUGAGCUCCUUGAAUCGUUGAAUGUGAUAAGUUCACUCAAUAACUGCUUCAAUAACUGUUAUUCUGGAUAACCAUAAUGUUUUAUGCUUGCUAAGAUCCUGGACGAUUCAAAGGUUUGGGCGAGAACGGGGUCAUCGCUCUGAGCGACCGUAAGGUACUCUAUUCGCUUAGAUUCUGGACAUCUUGCAAGCUUAGACGAUGAUGUUACCGUGUUUGUGGACUUCCACCGCAUUCAUCAAUAAUCCUGUUUGGACAUUUAUCCUGGAUUCCCCAAUUGGACUUCACUCUUUGGGCUAUUUGAUUUGAGCUGCACUUUUAAUGUGUCAACAGAUGGACACCAUGAUCAUUGGAACAUGCUAGUGGAGAACUUUUUAAGAUCUAAGGAGUACUGCCAUGUUGUUGAAUAUGGUGUAGCAGCACUUGCUGCUAAAGUGGCACUCAUAGAAGCUCAAAAAACGUAGUUGGCGGGAUCGAAGUUGGAAGACAGCUAAUAGAAUAUUUAAUUGUAAAAAGAAGUAUGUGCGAGAAUUUAAGGGAGGAAUUCUCAGAAACUUAUUGUUAUUGUUAUUUCUUCAUAUUUUAUAAAUGCACAUUACUUCUUAGUGGCCUAGUCUCUGGGGAAAUUUAUUUAUUUUUAUUUAUUUAUUUAUUUAUUUUUGACUUAGCACUAGUUGAAUAAGACAUAAUCAUUGAACUUGUGGCUGAACUUUUAGUCAUUGGUGAUAAGAUGUUUCAUCAGGAUUUUAUGCAUGAUUCUGUUAUACAAACGACUUUAAAGCCCCUCAGUUGAAUUGAAAGCUCCAUUUCUCUCUUAUUUUCCAUUUUCUAUGUGAGCGGUACAGAGACGAAAUAUUUUAAGAAACAAUCAUGCUUGAUGUACAUCAUUGUUAAUACUUUGUCUCAUGUUAUUAUUCAAUUGGACUGUUCAAAAAAAAUAAUUUUCCACCCAAUUAUUUGUUGAUAGUAUAAAUAAAUCAACGAAUGGCUGGUAUAUAAUCUUUUGAGAAAUGGGCAAUUUUGUUGAGUGUUUGGAAAAAGGGUGUGCAAUUUAUUGGACAAUGAUUGAAACCACACGUGGGAGACAAGACAACAUAGUGAACAUUUUACGGUAUCUUGUUCUCCAUGUUUAAAGACAUUACUUACAAUUUAGAGAGUAUCCAAUAAAGCAAAAAAAUUUAAAUCCUUCAACAUCUUCUUUAUUUUUAACAUUUAGCCCGUGUUUGACUCUCUAUAAAAUAAAAUAAUUUAUUUUCUAUACUCAUUUUAAACCACAUAUUCAUUCAAUAAGAUAUUUUGUUCGUAAACUCAAUUUUUUUUUCCAAUUUUUAUUCACAUAUUCUUUAAAAAAAUCACCAUUCAAGAUCUCAUUUUUUUUACACAAUAAGAACCAUCAAAUGAUGAUAAUUUUACUACUCAUACAUGUAAUCAUUAUUUUUUUCAUUUUUUUUCAUUUUCACUAACUUACCUCCGAAUUAUUAUCUAUUUCCCUCAUUUUCAUUGUAAAUACUCUAUUCGUGUCAUAAAGAUAGAUUUAAUUUCCUUUGUUAUCUGUCCCAAAUUAUACAUCAAUUUCUGACAAUUUAGUUGAUUUCUUAAUUUUCUAAUAUGUUCUUAUUUAAUGUGUAUUGCUAUCAACAAAUAUGAAUUAUUCACAUUUUGAUUAUUAUUUAAUAUAGGGUAUAUUAGAAAACAAGUAAGAAAAAAUUAUAUUUCUAAUUAUAUUAAUUACAUUUUCUUAAUCCGUAAAAUGGAAGCAAAUUUAUUUUUAUGGAUUGGAUGGAAUACUAUUUAGUGGGGUUCAAUAAAUAGAGCAUUGGAAAUUGAAAUAUCUUGAAUGUAACGAUCCGACCUCUAUGCUAAAGUCGUUAACUUAGAUAAUAUCCACUAUGGAAGAAUUUAAAUCCAUCUUACGUUUCACGGGUAUCCAUCGCGUCCCUAAGAUUGGAACUCAGGGGACGCGAUAGAAAUUUGUGAAGGAUAAGAUGGUUUAGAUUCUUCCAUGAUGAAUAAUAUGUAAGUUAACAACUUGAACAAAGAGGUUGAAUCGUUAGAUUGAAUGUAUUUAUUUAUAAAGAGGGGUUGGCUUUUCAAUUUUGGGGAGGUAAAUGCACUAACCAUUUUAAAAUAUUAAUUUGAAGAGUCUUUGAAAUUUUAACAAUUGAUAUUUUAAAAUAAAGACAAAAUAGAAAGAUCCCUUUUAUAAAAUCUCUUCAAAAUGCGCUUAUAGUUCAUGUCUGUGUUCUUGCAAAUGAGUCCAAAAUCAGCGAUUGCAGAAUCCCAAUGCAAAUGAAUUAAAUAUUUUUUUCUUUGAUAAUCUCAACUGUGGACAUUUGUCCAGGAUUAUUGAAUUUAUAUACUUGAUAUGAACUAAGAUUUCGUUUUUAACUCAAAUUUUAUUGUACAUUAUUCACUUUUAAUCAUAUUUCUUGCAACUCACCAACUCUCAUCAACAUAAAUAACUCUUCAAGGGCAAAACAAAAAAUCAUAUAUAUAGCUUAAUACAGCCAAAUAGCAACAUUUUAACAUAAUUAGAAAUUCUUUGUGCUCCAAGGAACAAUAAAAGUGAAGCAUUAUGAGAUUUUAAUGAUCCAACAUACAGGAAAUUAUCUUGUAGCAGCCCUACACGAUCCUAUGAUUUUCAAGAAACUUAAUAAAAUUAUCUAUAUAACGAUGGUGUAAAUUUUUAUCUCCAAAUAUUGGACUCAUUUCUUUGGCUCGAAAUUUCUUUCCCUCAUUUUCCAUCAUUACCAACUUUAUCGAAUUGGACACCGAGUUCCUCGUAUAUGAUCCAAAUCCAACCUGUAUAUCGGCAAUUAUUCUAGCAUUCAAACCUUGAUCUACCAGAAAAGGCAAGGCAAUUAAGGGGAGACCAUAAAUGAGUCCCUCUAAAAAAGAACACCAGCCACAGUGAGUCAAGAAUGCACCCACCGAGUCAUGGCUUAGUAUCUUCAACUGAGGUCCCCAACUCUUCCACACCACACCUCUGCCCUUAACUCUCUCUUCGAACCCGUCUGGUAAAACCACCGAGUAGGAAUCGUCUGACCCAGAUGUUCCUCAGUGCCCAAAAGAAGGGAACAUCAGAUAACUCCAAUCCAAGAGCCAACUCGUUGAUUUGAUCUUGACUCGACGUCACCUCGGUCCCUAAUGCUACGUAAACAACUGACUGUUUAUUUUGAUCAUCAAGCCAAGUUUUGAUUGAAACCCAUGAUUCGCUGUGAUCUUCUUCCACUUGUGGUGGCAUUAAACUUACUGGAAUCACUGGCUUAUGGUAAAGCUCUUCAAGUAAUUUCAACUAAUCCGGUUCAAACUCAUUGCAGUGUCUUAUGAAAACAGCUUCGGACCCCUCAAUUACUUUGCCAGUUCGAUAAAGAUCUGUAACUCCUGAUUCAUUCUUCUGAGUUGCUCCGACGAUCCAGUUUGCUUCGUACCGUCUAUAAGCUGCUUUUGUCUCAAACUUGAUCCACUUUGGUGGGAUCGUAAAAUCUUCUGCUCUUUUCCUCUCAUCAGAACCGUAAAUCAUGGUAUCUGGUGGUCCAAGGAAAGCUAAAAACCAAGCGUUUACGACGAAGGACAUAGCACGAGAAAUUCCUGUUAGAAUUGAAUAAAAAAUAUUGAAUAGAAGUAAUGAAAAAUAUUGAAUAGAAGCCUCUUCAUAUGUUGUAACUCAAGUAACUCAAGUUUUUUCAUGUUUUUAACUCAUUUAUUAAUGAAUAGUUUAACUCAUUGAUUAAUGAGCUAACUUUUCCUCCAUUGGUAUAAAUAGGAGUCUCUCUAGGUUGGAAAAUCACAAGUGAAAUGCAAGCUUCUUCCUCUAAGCAACAAUCUUCUUUUUCUCACUUUCAAGUUCUUCCUUAUGCUUAUAAUUUCUUUGUGAGAUAAAAUAUAUCACAGUUAAUUCGCAGGAGUUAACGUAGUGCAGCGUGAACUGAUAACUGAUUGUAUCCUGGGAAUCGAACACCGAUCAAAACAUCUUGCACUCCGUUGAGGCGGGGAAUUCAAUUUAAGGAAACUGUGAAUACACAGACUUUCGGUUUGAUUUGAUUCUCUAAUAUUUACCUACAAGCUUAAAUCGAAUUGACUUUAAUAAAUCAAAUUUUGUUCAUUAGUUUUUGUCAAUUUUCCCAAUUCAUGAUUUUUGCAUGAUUUCUAAUUCAUUUUAAAUGAUUGUUAAGUUGUUAAUAAUUUGGCAAAAUAAUCUGUUUUUCAAUUCUGCAGUUUUAUUUUCUGAACAGAUAACUUGAACUCGAAUUUAUAUAUUGUUGACAUGCUAAAAGUGUAGCCCAAUUCAAAUAGCCUAAAGAAUGAAGCCCAACUGGGCAAUUCAGGAUAAAGGCCCAAAUAGGGUUAUUAAUUAAUGCAGUGAAAGCCCACGAACGCGGUAACACCAUCGCCCAAACUUACAAGACGCCCAGGAUCUGAGCGAAUGAAGUGCCUUGCAAUCGCCCAGAGUUAUAACCCCAUUCUCGCCCAAACCUUCGAAUCGCCUAGGAUCUUAGCAAAGAUAAGGUGUUAUUGUUAUCCAAAAGUACAGUUAUCGAAGCAGUUAUUGGGUAAUCUUAUCAUGUUCCACGAUUCACGAAGUUCAGUUGAAGACGGUUGAUCGAUAAAGAGUAGUGGUAGCAUUUAGAGAUGACAGUUCCACGAUAAGUUGGCCACCAUGAAGAAAGUGGACAGUUAUAAAGCUAUUAAGCAAUUUCUAAGCAGUUGAUCACAAAAAGAGCAUCAAGGGAAUAUAAAAGGAAGAAAAGACAUAGAACAAAAAGCCCGAAUCAAACACUCUCAAACAAAGAAUAUGUAAUUUCAAUUUCUUAUUUUAGACUUAAACAUUUUAUUUAAGUACUCGUGUGUUUGCGCCUCUUGGAGGCAUUCUGUUUAAGUUCCAAUUGUAAAGUCAGGGAGGAGUCCAGUCUGUGAAACAAUUUGGCAGCCAGGUGGGACCUUGGUGUUUGGUGUUGAAGAUACAAAAGGUGAAAUAAUAUGCCUCAAAAAUCCGAUAAGGAAGCAACAAGUCAGAGAGGAGUCCAGUCUGUGAUCGAGCGAUAUGAGGAGCAGCAUAGCUCUCCAUGAACAGAUGGACAGAAUCAGAGCAAUCGCAGUCGUUACGAACCAAUGACAGAGUUGAGUCCUCGAAUAAUGUGUGCAUUACUCGGAGAACUCACACAAAAUGUCGUUGAACAGGUAAAUCUAUGAAAUAUUCAUAAUAUGGAAAGAUUUACCAAGAAUAGGAAUGCACAUUAUGACAACAUGGUCAAACAACUGAAUACUUUGAACGAAAUAAUGAAUAAGUUAGUAGGCCAAAUUUGUCAGCCAGUUGUGCCUCUUGCAAACCGCUUUCAAACUAGGACAAUUGUGGGAUAUAAUCCCCCGGUCCUAAGUUUAAAUCAAGGGGUAGAACCACCUUUUGACCCCUCUACUUCAAACCAAGGGGGUGGUGUAAUACCAAAUCAGAAUAGUGGCAAUGGUACAUCUAACUUGGGGGUAACCUAAAUGUAAGAGAUAAUGUCCUAAAUAAUGAGCAGAACACCCCACGUGUUAAUGAUGGAAUAAAUGUUCAGGCUAAUGGUAACAAUGACCCAAAUCAUGAUAACUUUGUUGCCAAUCAAGGACCAAACAUCAGGCCUCAAGCAAAUCAACCGGUCAACUAAUCUGUAGGAAUUCCAUAUGACCCCAACGUCAUGUUGAGGAAUCAGAUUAUGAAAAUCGUACAGGACCAGAUGGCUUUUGGAGUACGUCCUGUCAUUAGGCCGACUUACACAAAGUCAUAUCCUGAUUGGGUAGACCAAGCAUAUCCAUGGCCUAGAGGGUAUAAAGUGUCAGAAUUCGCACUGUUCUACUCUAGAACACAUAGGGCGAUUCACACUGCAAAGUGGUGACAUAACUGAUUAUCAUAAAAUGAGGUCGUUCCCUAGUUCGUUAACAGGAGUAGUCUUCUCCUGGUUCAUCAAUUUGCUAGCAAACUCUAUUCAAACAUGGAAACAAUUGGAGCAAUUGUUCCACGCUCAGUUUUAUACGACUGAGUCUGAAGUUACUUUGACCGAUUUGGCGAAUCUACGUCCAAUGCCAAACGAAUGGAUAGAAAGUUUUCUUCAAAGGUUCAAGACAGCAAGAAGUAAAUGUUUUGUACCUUUACCCGAAAAGGAGUUUGUCAAAAUCGCUCAAAGUUGUCUAAGCUUUGAUCUGAAGAAGAAGUUCCAAGAUAAGGAAUUUCCUGAUUUUUUCCAAUUGAGCGCGAACGUGAUUAGGUAUGAACGAUUAAUAAGAAAAGAAGAACAAAUGAAAAAUUCUAGCAAGGGGACUUAUUUUAGAGACCCAAAUUUUGAUGUUCAUACCAUUAAUGACGAGUAUUAUGAUCAAACCGAAAUGUGUUUGGCCGAAUUAGUUAAAGGAGACACAUAUACUUGUCCUAUAAUGGCUAAGCCUAGGUCGUCGGGCAAAGAUGAGCCUAUAAAAGAUGAAAACAUAAAAGUUAGAACGUUCUCGUUCGAUGUAACCAAAAUUGACCUUAUAUUUGAUAAAUUAUAUAAGGAUAAACAGAGUCCUUGCUUGAAGCUCCUUCGUCUGUGCAGCCAAACUGGUCAUCAAAGAGUCUUCAAUCAUGACUUCAGAAGAGAUUUCUUUCAGUUCGUCCUCAGCUUUGUUGAUCUCCAUGACCAAAGACUCUCUUUCAGAUACAGCGCGAAAAUAUUGAGUACUUUUGGCCUUCAGUUCGACAUUUUUGGCCAGCAAGGAGAGAAUCUCGGAAUGGACAAUUUUCAAUGUCGCUUUAAAAUCAGCAGAAAGAUUGAGCGACGGAAGUGUCAGUGCUUGCGCCAGCUUUGCACUCAAAUGCUUAAGCUUAUCCUUAUGUUUGGCAGCACUAGCCUGACCGAUGUCCAUAUCCAUAAAUGACACAUACUCAAAUAUCGACUGCUUGAGGAAAUUCAUAUUUUCCUCUGAAGAAGCAGAAGAACGACUGGUUGAAGCAGGCGAGACAUCUUAACUUGCCCCCAGGAAGUGAACAAGUCCUGGAUGGAACGUACAAUCCUAUCAGUAUCCUGCAAAGAAAGUCGCCAACAUCGAAGGUUUUCACUACAAUGAACAAAGUGGAAGUAAAAGUGAAGCAAAGAUUACCUCAUCAGCAAUCUUGGGAGGUGGCGUAUCCCCAGCCAAAUCUACCACCUGUGGCUCCACCACUUGAGAGGACCUCCCCUUGUCUGAGCGAGAAGACUUUGCCACAACGGGCAAACCCAUGGGAACAUCUACAGAACUCAAAAAGCAACAAGUCAAAAACCAAUAGUACAAGCAAAGGUAAAACAUCUAAAAAUGUAUUACCUUCUAGUUCGACGUUUGGGGGUUGACACCCUGGGAAGAAGGUGGCUCAUCCAUUGGUUGUGAUGAUGAUUUCGGGAUUGAAGGUUUCUCUUUAAGCGUAGUCCCUUCAUCAGUUGGUUUGGAUGAAGCAGGCUCGGCAGAGGGUGAUGGAGCAGGAGCUGCCAACACCAAAGCCUUCGAAGGAGAGGCUGAGCUUUUAUGAGAAAUCCGAAUAAACCAUUAGCACAUAGCAAAGUUUCAAGUAUAGAAAGGUAUGUUUGUGAGUAAACUAAUUUAACUACAUUUCUACUGACAAUGAGAGGAGUGUCAUCAUCAUCAUCCUCCAAAAUGGGAGAUGCUGAGGCUGACCGUUUGCGGCUUGGGGCACUUUUAGAUGCAGUAGGUUAGGCAGGAAGAGAAGUUAAUGGACGAAUAAACUGUUUAGCACGAGCAGAAGAGGAAAGACUCUUAAUGGACACAGGGGUGACCAAAACAGGGGAAGUAGAAGAAAUGUCCAACUGAUCCAGUGAAUGGAAAACGCGAUUGGCAUCAGUUGCAAACAAUCUGCGCUGCACUGAUGGCCAGAGUUGUUCAAAAAGGGGAUGCAUGGCAUGGCUAGGAUUGAAGGGAGCUAAUAAAAAGUUACUCGUCAAAAGAAUAUUGCGAGCAUCUAUAGCUUCUGCCUCUGUCUUAUUAAUGGUGUGGAAGCGAUCUAUCAAAUUUCUUAAAUAACAAGGGGGAACAGGCCAAGUUUGGCCAAAACCAAGUUGAUGAGCAAAAAAUUGGGGAGCAUAUAUCUCAACCCCAGCUUUGGCAUUGGUUCCAGUCAAAAUAUCAUGGAACAACUCCCUCCCGAUCAAAAACGAAACCCAAACGAGUAGAGAGGUGCUCACGCUGUCCAGAGUAGAUAGGGGUUGCACAUAAUCUAGAGUUAAAAAGGGAGGAAAAAGAAAGAAAGAAGGAAUUGAAUUCAAAGUAUAAAAGAAUGAAAAUAUGUUCCUUCUAGACAUAUUUACAGGGCUCAGUGGACCAAUAGCUAACCCAUAGCAGCUAGCAGAAGGAAGAGAAAAGGAUAGAGCACCAAGUGAUGAAAAAUAGGCUCUCAACCACAUUAGAGUGAACCAAAGAGGCCCAAUGCCAGUAGGAGAUGCACCAUUCUUCAAUUAGAAUUGGAAAGAAGCCAUGCCUCUAUAGAGGGCAGCCAAAAAGAAAGAAUACAAAUUCUGCGCUAUGGGUAAAUAGCUCAUGGAAGGCUUCAUGCUUGGCACACACAGAACAUAUUUAUAAAGCCAAAUCUGAAUAAAGGCCACACGGUCAGCAUGGGAAGGCUCAGCGCUCGAGUGAUUAUAACAGCUUUGCAGACUUGAAUAGGACUCGGUGAGUUUGCUGUCAAAUUUUGGAGCGACACCAGAAAUCAAAAUACCAGGGAAAAUGGUAUCGCCCAAAGGUGGCAAGCUUAUUGAGGCCCCAACAUCCCUUAAAGUAAUGGAUAUGGGACCAAGAGGAAAACAAAAGUAUUAUACUUAGAGGACCAAAAACUUAAAGUAAUAGGAAAAAGUGCUGAAUCAAAAAUAGGGGGUUGAAGAGAGAUUUCUAACAAAUCAGAAAUCCAGGCACUAUCAAAAAUUGUCUUGGUAGGACCAUGAUCGACAAGGUGAGCAUCCCAUCUACAGAAAACGACAUCAGAUUUAGGCCAAGUGCGAAUACCUCUUUCGCGAAGCGGCCUCAGCGGCAAAGAGUUUAGAAAUAGAGGGCCUUGAGUACAAGGGAACAGCUGGCCCACCGCCACUUGUUCGACGGCCUCGACGUUGUUGAAUGAAGGACCUAGAAAAAACUCAUUGAGUUCGGCAUUGGCUGGUGUAAGGAAGUUCGGAGUUAUAUAUGGCCGAGUGAGGAUUUUCUGGAAGUCUUCAAAACUGAAAGAGUCACCAGAUUGGGAUUGUGAAGCAGCCAUUAGGAACGAAAUAAAGUUUUGUUAAAGUUUGCUUGAGAAACAUAGCAGAGAAGCAAGAAGAUGAACAAUAAUAUUGUGAGAGAGAAGCACAGAACAAUGAGGCGUGAUUUAGUAGUGCGAUAAAAUGGCGUGUAUUUGGGGGUUAUAAAGGUUUGCAACGUCCCACCUUUUUAGGCUAUGGAAGAAAAUAAUGAUUGAAAUUCUUGGGAAUUUCAAAUGUUAUUGGGAAACACAAAGUGAAUAUGGCAAAAAUUAAUAAUUGGUAUUAAUUCUGCCAUAUUGGGGAUAAUUGUUGACAUUCUAAAAGUGUAGCCCAAUUUGAAUAGCCCAAAGAAUGAAGCCCAACUGGGCAAUUCAGGAUAAAUACCCAAAUAUGGUUAUUAAUGAAUGCAGUGAAAGUCCACGAACGCGGUAACACCAUCGCCCAAACUUACAAGACGCCCAGGAUCUGAGCGAAUGAAGUGCCUUGUAAUCGCCCAGAGUUAUAACCCCGUUCUCGCCCAAACCUUCGAAUUGCCCAGAAUCUUAGCAAACAUAAGGUGUUAUGGUUAUCCAAAAGUACAGUUAUUGAAGCAGUUAUUGGGUAAUCUUAUCAAGUUCCACGAUUCAAGAAGUUCAAUUGAAGACAGUUGAACGACAAAGAGUAGUGGCCGUAUUUAGAGACGGCAGUUCCACGAUAAGUUGGUCACUAUGAAGAAAGUUGGCAAUUAUAAAACAAUUAAGCUGUUUCUAAGCGGUUGAUCACAAAGAGAGCAUCAAGGGAAUAUAAAAGGAAGAAAAGACAUAGAGCAAAAAGCCCGAAUCAAACACUCUCAAAUAGAGAAUAUGUAAUUUCAAUUUCUUAGUUUAGACUUAAACAUUUAAUUUCAGUACUCGUGUACUUGCGCCCAUUGGAGACAUUCUGUUUAAGUUCCAAUUGUAAAGUCAUUGCCAAUAAAACACCCCUUUUUAGGACUUUGUCUCAAGAAGUUUGUCCUUUACACAAUCGUCUGAUCCCUUUUUAAUUAUUAGUGACUACCCGCGCGAAACAUAUAUAACUUUACAAACUUAUAAUUAUUCUAAAUUAUUUGUUACUUGUUCCGAUUCAAUGGCAUCACAUGGAAAUAACGAUGUGAACAACGGAAGCAACAUUGUUGGUAUCCAUGUACCAAAUCCUGCAAUGACCGUUGUUAACCCUAUGGAGACCACGACUGACAUUUCUCCCAUUAACGGGAUAAUUGGAGGUGGGAUUCCUCAUGUUGAAGUGAACCCAAGUUUGCCUUCGGCCGCGGCCUCGACAAUCUAGUUUGGCACAGUACCUUUGCCAGUACCUAGGGCGACACCUUUGCCAUCGUUUCUAGCUCCAUUUUCGGUGAAUCAUGCAAUUCAACCGAAUAAGUUUGCUGGUACUGAUUUUAAGAUAUGACAGAAUAAGAUGGUUUUCUAUCUCACUACGUUGGGUCUUGCAUGUUUUCUUACUGAGGAUGCCCCUAUCGUGGCUGAAAACGACACUGAGUGCAUAAGCGUGCAGCUUGGAACGCUUGGAAAAGUGCUGAUUUUUUGUGCCGCAACUAUGUCUUGGAUGGCCUACAGAAUUCUCUGUAUCACUAUAUGUAGUAAAGAAGUCUGCUAAGGAGCUCUGGGAGUCCUUAGAAAAGAAAUACAAGCCCGAGGAUGCCGGAUCUAAGAAAUUCUUAGCCAGUCGGUGUAUGAAUUUCGAAAUGGUUGAUUCACGUUCAGUGGUGAGCCAAGUACAGGAGAUCAAGUGCUUUUGCAAGAAAUGCAUGCUGAGGGUCUGACCAUGUCAGAAUCUCUACCGGUGGCUACUGCUAUUCACAAGCUACCUCCUCAGUGGAAGGCUUUUAAAAGCUAUUUGCAGCAUAAGAGGAAAGAGAUGUCUUUCGAGGAUUUAAUUAUCAAGCUGCGCAUUGAGGAGGAUAACAAACGGGCUGAACGUAAGUCAGAGAAUUCUUACUCUGAGAAGGCUAAUGUAUUGGAGUACGGCCAAAGUUCUGGUACUAAGAAAGUUCACUCCUUUAAAGCCAAACAGGGUAACAGAAAUCGAAAAGAUAAAAAAAAGGCUACGAAAGGGUCUUAGUUGAAGCCUGCAUGUGGGGUAGGAAAGAAACCUAAGUUCCAGCUCAAUGGAAACUGCUUCAAUUGUCACAAAGUUGGGCAUCGAUCAGUAGACUGUCGUCGGCCUCGGAGGGAUAAUAAGCAGCGUUCUCAUGCUAAUAUGGUUGGAAAUGAGAGAGACCAUCUCUCAAAUGAAAUUUUUGAGCUAAACCUCACGGUGGUGAUUAGUGAGGUUAACCUGGUGGGGUCUAACCCAAAGGAGUGGUGGCUGGACACUAGGGUCACUUGCCAUGUCUACUCCAACAGGAGCAUAUUCACUACUUUUGCACCAGUUACAAAUGAUGAAAAAUUGUUCAUGGGAAACUCUGCAACUUCUGAAGUGCUUGGUAAAGGCAAGGUAAUCCUGAAGACGACAUCUGGCAAAGAGCCUGUUUAAAUUGAAUGUAAUUGCUGUAACCCUAACUGUUAUGAGUAAUGAGAAAACUCCUUCUGUUUACUUGCUUGAGUCUCCUAAUAUGUGGCAUGGUAGAUUAGGUCACGUAAAUUACAAUACUUUACGUAGACUAAGCAAACUAAAUUACUUGCCUAGGUUUCAAAUUGAUUCAAAUCAUAAAUGUGAAACAUGUGUGGAAUCUAAGCUUACUAGGUCUUCAUUUCAUUGUAUUGAAAGAAGUAUCGAGCCAUUGGGACUGGUCCAUAGUGAUGUAUGUGACUUGAAAUCUGUCCAAACAUGAGACGGUAAUAAGUAUUUUAUUACUUUUGUCGACGAUAGCACGAAAUAUUGUUAUGUGUACUUGCUUAAAAGCAAAGACGAAGCUAUCGAUAAAUUCAUUCUUUAUAAGAAUGAAGUUGAAAAUCAACUUAGUAAGAAAAUAAAGGUGCUACGUAGUGAUCGUAGUGGUGAAUAUGAAUUACCAUUUGGUGAGUUUUGUGCUAAACAUGGAAUAAUUUACCAAACUACUGCACCUUAUUCACCUCAGCAGAACGAAAUUGCUGAGCGUAAGAAUAUAACUUUAAAAGAAAUGAUGAAUGUUAUGUUGAUUAGUUCUGGAUUACCACAGAACAUGUGGAGAGAAGCUAUUCUUUCCGCAAAUUACAUCUUGAAUAAAGUGUUGAAAAAGAAUAUGGAUAAGACUCCGCAUGAACUUUGGACAAAUCGGACACCUUCAUAUAAAUACUUACGAAUGUGGGGGUGUCUUGCUAAAGUUGUGGUGCCUCUUCCUAAGAAGGUCAAGAUUGGACCUAAGACAGUGGAAUGUGUAUUCAUUGGUUAUGCACAAAAUAGUAGUGCAUAUAGGUUCCUUGUACAUUAUUCGAAUGUACCUGAUAUUCAUUCGAACACGAUUAUGGAGUCUAGGAAUGCUCAAUUCUUUGAGAAUAUAUUUUCUUGUAAGUCUUCUAAACAGUUAGCUCCUAUUAAACAGACAAUGGAAUCUUCUGCUUCUGGCAGUAGUAAAGAUCCAGUUGAAAAAAGGUGAGGAUGAGCCUAAACGGAGCAAAAUGACCAAAACUUCUAAGACGUUUGGCCCUGAUUUUCUCACAUAUUUGAUGGAGAAUGAUCCUCGAAGCUAUAAAGAAGCUAUAUCUUCUCCAGAUGGUCAUUUGUGGAAAGAAGCCAUCAAAAGUGAAAUCGAUUCCAUUCUACAGAAUCAUACCUGGGAGUUAGUAGAUCUUCCACCGGGCUGUAAGCCUUUGGGCUACAAGUGGAUCUUCAAGAAGAAGAUGAAAGCGGACGACUCCAUUGAUAAAUAUAAAUCUCAGCUAGUAAUCAAAGGUUAUAAGCAAAAUGAAGGCUUAGAUUACUUUGAUACUUAUUCUCAUGUGUCAAGAAUAACUUCUAUUCGGAUGAUAAUUGCUAUUGCGGCCUUGCUAAAUCUGGAAAUACAUCAGAUGGAUGUAAAAACAGCUUUUCUAAAUGGAGAUUUGAAUGAAGAAAUCUACAUGGAGCAACCAGAGGGGUUUACAGCUCUAGGUCAAGAAAGGAAAGUUUGUAGACUGGUUAAAUCGCUAUAUGGUUUGAAGCAAGCACCGAAGCAAUGUCAUGAGAAAUUUGAUAAUGCUAUGCUUUCUAGUGGUUUUAGAAUCAACGAGUGUGACAAAUAUGUAUAUGUCAAGGACACUAAUGAUGAAUAUGUUAUAUUAGGUCUAUACGUCGACGACAUGCUCAUUGUCGGUAGCUCUGACAAGAUUAUCAAAGCCACUAAGAAUAUGUUAAACUCAAAGUUUGACAUGAAAGAUAUGGGUCUCAUGGAUGUCAUUUUGGGAGUAAAAAUUACUUGAACACCAAAUGGACUUGUGUUAUCUCCAUCUCAUUACAUUGAUAAGAUACUAGACAAGUUCAACAAGUCAGACACCACUGUGACCAAGACUUCAGUGGAUUUGAGUCUCCAUUUAUCCAAGAACACUGAUGAUGGUGUAUCACAGUUAGAAUAUUCUCGGAUAAUUGGGAGUUUAAUGUAUUUAAUGACUUGUAUGAGACCGGAUAUAGCAUACUCAGUUAGCAGAUUGAGUCGCUAUACGAGUAACCCAAGUGCUGUCCACUGAAAAGCCAUUUUUAGGGUGCUCCAUUAUUUAAGGCACACUCGUGAUUUUGAACUACAAUAUUCUAGAAACCCUGCAGUAAUCGAAGGGUAUGCUGAUACAAAUUGGAUAUCAGAUAUGUCAGAUACCAAGUCUAUUAGUAGAUAUUUCUUCAUUCUAGAUACCAAGUCUCUUGAAAAUCGUCUGAACAAACUUGCAUCACAAGAUCUACAAUGGAAUCAGAGUUCAUCGCUUUGGACAAAGCAACUGGAGAAGCAGAGUGGCUUCACCAGUUUGUUGAGGAUAUUCCAAGAUGGUCAAAGCCUGUGCCUGCAAUUUGUGUUUAUUGCGAUAAUCAAUCAACAAUUGGCAGGGCAUAGAGCAAUAUGUAUAAUGGUAAGUCUUGCCAUAUUCGAAGACGACACAAUACCAUUCGACAACAACUCUCACAAGGUAUUAUCACUCUGAACUACGUGAAGUCAAAGGAUAAUAUUGCGGAUCCGCUAAUCAAAGGGCUAACUCGAGAGCUAGUUGUAAAAGUAUCGAGGGGAAUGGGCUUGCAGCCUAUGACGUUGAAAGGUAUCGUGGUGGAAACCCAACCUAGUGGAAUGGAGAUCCCAGGAUCUAGGUUCAAAGGGACAACUAAAACAUGUAUAUUAUUGUAAAUCACUGAAAAUGUUCUCUUUCCACUCAUUCCUAUGGUGCUCACAUUGAUUGGAAGAUGCAGGUUAAGCUAUGCUUUUAAUGACCAUUAAUCGUUGUUGUGAAAAACUGAGUUAAGAGGUCACCUAUGUGAGUGUGAAGUGGGGCCGCUUCUAUAAGGAUUGGCAAGGCUACAUCCUUGAAAAAACACUUGCAGAACUAGGCGACGUGUUCAUGGCCAAAACAAACACAACAGUAAGAACUAUGUUGUGACUAGGAUGGUCCUGUGUGAGAUCUAUUGACUUGGUUUACACAAAUGGCGAAAUAGUUCAAGACAUCAGGUCCACUGGUUUGCUAGUAAUUCCCAAUAGGUUUCACAAGGGAAGGUUCAAAGCUAAAUGCUACAUAUCCUAUGCAGGAUUGAUUCGUUUUACUCUCUCUUUCCUCUUGAAUUUUAGUAUCCAUUUUUUAUUCAUAUGGGGGAUUGUUAGAAUUGAAUGAAAAAUAUUGAAUAGAAGUAAUGAAAAAUAUUGAAUAGAAGUCUCUUCAUAUGUUGUAACUCAAGUAACUCAAGUCCUUUCAUUUUUUAACUUCUUUAUCAAUGAAUGGUUUAACUCCUUGAUUAAUGAGUUAGCUUUUCCUCCAUUGGUAUAAAUAGGAGUCUCUCUAGGUUGGAAAAUCACAAGUGAAAUGCAAGCUUCUUCCUCUAAGCAACAAUCUUCUUUUUCGCACUUUCAAGUUCUUCCUUGUACUUAUAAUUUCUUUGUGAGAUAGAGUAUAUCACAACUAGUUCGCAGGCGGUUAACAUAGUGCAGCGUGAACCGACAACUGAUUAUAUACUGGGAAUUGAACACCGAUUAAAACCUCUUGCACUUCGGUGAGGCGGCGAAUUCGAUUUAAGGAAACUGUGAAUACACAGGCCUUCGGUUUGAUUUGAUUCUCUAAAAUUUACCUACAAUUCCAAGUCUUGCCGCGACUAGAGGCAACCAGUGUGGAGCAAAAUCAUAUAAAAUCCAAUUGGGAGCUGAGUCUUCCAAGAAACGAGUCAAUCCAGUUUCCAUUCCAUCAAAUGCUUUCUUCAAAUAAGGCAUAUCUUCAUUUUUGAUAUCCAUGGUCGCCUCUGCAGAUUCAGGGAGUUGUUCAACCUUAGGCAAUGGAAUUUUAAUGAAGGUUAUGGAAGUAGCUAAAUGAGAAGGGAUUUUUGGGAGACGAUCAAUAUUUCUUGAAGCGGAAACAAAUGAGAUUUUGUGGCCCUUUUGAGCUAAGAAUUUGGAGAGCUGAAGGAAUGGAAUGAUGCGCCCAAAAGUCAGCCAUGGGAACAUCAAUGCAUGUAAUUUGGAAUCCAUUGUUGCAGUAAUUUUCACUGGUGGUGAUUUGUAUAUAUAAGGGAGUGAGCAUUGCAAUUCAACUCAACUCAACUCAACUCAACUGAGUUACUACCCAAACCAAAAGGAAGACUUCUUCACAAGGCACUGAGACCCAACCUUUGAAAUUGAUGUGGCUGAGAUUUGCCCGAAACAAUCCCUUUUAUCUUAGGUCAAGGGAUGUUGAGGCUCAGGUAAUUCAAUCAUGAUUUGUCACAUUAACGUCGGUACAAUUUUUCACGUCACUUUAUUCGAGUAGAGAACGUUUAGUUUAUUAUUAUUCCUUCUAAAAUAGAAUGAACAGCGAGAAUCAUGUGGUGCCAUUUGCGAUGGUGAAAGAAGUUGUCUCUAUUCUUCUUGAUAAUGAUGCGCAAGCAAUUUUAGACUUUUACCGACUCUGAAGGCGGCAACAUAGCCCUUGUUUGCCUCCAUUUUAGCCAUUGUUUGGAGAUCUUUAAUUUAGUCCUGUUUGAUUUCCAUUUUUAUCUUUCUAUUUUUUAAUCACACAAUUUUCAUUAAAAUAAUAUUAUACGUAAAUAAAAAAAAUUUCUUUAUUUUUCAUUCAUACAUUUUCUAUCAAUUUAUUAUUUUAAAAUUCAUUUUUUCAGCAAAAUGGGUGUCAAGCACCCUCUUAUUUUCUUAUAAUCAUUUCUAACUACAUAUUUAUACAAUAAAAUAUUUUACAAAUAAUUUCAACAAAUUUCACCUUUUAACGAUAAAUUCUUAAAAAAAAAAAUUACUAUUUAGAACAUAGCCUUUUCAAAUUAAAGGCCACCAAACAUGGGCUUGGUGAGGUUUUGAGAAAAAAAUGUAUUUUGAAAUGAUAAUCUUUUUGAGAUUGUAUAUGAUUAAUGGGGAGUGUUACAUGUACAUAAUUGUCUACAUAAUGAUAUUCAUAAUUACACGUGAUAUUGGAUCCAAUUUUUAAUUCAAAUCUCACACUUGCACAUCAAUAAUCGGAUGAUUGUCACAUCACAUUAUGGACACCGUUAUGUGUAAUAAUUAUGUACAAAUAGAAUUUUACAUGAUUAAUAAGUAAGAAAAUAUUUUGAAUUUACACAGAACGUUAUUUUAUUGAAGGAUGUGUGAUUAAAAAGAAAAAUAUAUUAAAUUUUUAAUGGAACCCACGGGAGUACUGUAAUAAAAGGAAAAUGACGUUUUCCAUUUUAGCACGUUUGAUUUCUAUCAAUACACUUACUCGAAUCAAAUCGAGCUUUCAGUUGGAGUCUUCUUUAACUUUAAAUUGAAUAGUUGUAUUAGCAUUGAUUUUUAGACCCAGAAUCAAUGCUAUAUACCCACGUUAGUAUUUAAACAGUCUAAAUAUUUCUCUAAAAGAGAGCAGGUUUGCUGAUUUUUUAUUCAAUUUUAGAAUUUGGGGUUUUAUUGCUGUAAUUGAAAAUACGGAGUAAGGCUAGAGGGAGUGAUUCACGUACGUUUUGUUGAAUGAUUUUAUUAGACAAUUUGUUAUUUGUUAUUUUAAAUUUAGAUCAUGUUUAUAAAUUUGUGUUAAGAUGCAAUGCAACCUGUCAUUUAUUAGUUUAUUGUGUUAUUUCAUACACUAGAAGAAUAAAAAUAGUUGUUAGAUUUUGAACAUAUCAAAAAGAAUAAUGUUAUUCGCAAUCGCUCACUACAACAUUCGCCCUCCAUAAUAUACACAUGUUAGGUUAUUAUUAAUAUAUCAAGGGCUUGUUUGACCCUUUUUUUUUUUCAAAAAUGCAUUUUGUAAUAGUGUUAUGAUGAUAAUAUGUAAUUAAAAAAUAAGAAAAAUUUUGUGGUUGUGUAUAAUAUUAUUUUAUUAAAAAAUAUGUGACUAAAAUAUGGUCAAAUCACUGUUCAAUAAUAUAUUUUGAUAAAAAGUAUGGUUCAAACAAAGGUCCAAUAUUCACAUAUCAUGUGUAUGUUAGAUAGAACCACUGUUGUAAUGAACAGUUACUAAUAACAAUAUUCUAUUGAAAAAGAGGUGUGCUAUAGGUACAUAAAACGAUAAAUAAUGGUGUCCCCUCACAUGUGACGGGACCAACUGAGCUUAGGUGGGCCCGGCAUAUGUACCACAAGGGUUUUUCAUUGAAAAUUACCAAUCCCAUGAUUGAAAUUGGAACAAUGAUUAGAUAGUCAAUUUUCUUUAAAAUUUCUGUUCAUAAGUUUGACAAUAACGAUGAAAACAAGUCUUAAUUUUAUAUUGUAAAAUGGCACUUUCUUCAAGAGAUAUGUCACGACUCUUGGUCCAUUUGAGCCCACCCACGUGACCUUUUCUUUUUUUUUUUUUUUUUUUUUUUUUUACAAGGUGUCCGGGCUUGCGUCCGACUAGAUCCUUGUCCCUGAACCUCCGACCCCUCAGCAGCUCAGGGAGGUAAAUCGCAGGAUGUGCCCUUGUUGGCUCCCAAGUUCUCACAACUCAUUUGAACUCCUUCUACAAAGAGAGCUCUCUUCACUGGGCGUUUGUUCACACCAAUGGCUUCCUCUCCAUAUGGCUCCCAGUGUUAACUCUAGGAAUCGAACUCCCCACCCUUACUUCCAGCAUCCCAGUGAAGUGAUUGUUCCACCAACUCGGAUGUGCCCUGGGGGCCCACCCACGUGUCCUUAUUAUUAUGCAGUGCAGUCAGGGGCGAAUCUAGGGUCAAAGUUCAGCAAGGGCGAAAGUUGACCGUCGACGAUUGUAAUAGUCCGAUCAUUUAUGAAAAUAUGGUUACAUAAUAUUAAAAGUUCUUCAAUAUAUACGUAAAUAAACUCAAACGUUUUCUCAAUCAAAAAAGUACCAAGUACACAUGAGUUGAAUUGAGCAGCCAACAUCUUCGCAAUUAAUUUUUUUCCAUUAUCCUAAUUUCCUAAACAUAAAUUCCCAAAUCAAUAAUCAUAAGAUUCAUAACAUAAAUUACUUAUCAUAAAUCACAAUUUUCAAAAAUAAUUUCGUAAACAUAAAUUCCCAAAUCAAUAAUCAUUCCUUAUUAAAACAUAAAUUACGUAUCAUAAAUCACAAUUCACAAACAUAAUUUCGUAAACAUAAAUUCACAAAUCAAUAAUCAUAAUUCAUAAAUCGUAAAUUACUUAUCAUAAAUCACAAUUCGCAAACAUAAUUUUGUAAACAUAAAUUCUCGAAACAAUAAGUCAAUAAUCAUAACAUAAUGAACAAUUUAACAUUCAUCACUCAACAUCAACAACUCAAGUAGCCAACGAAAUUAAACAAAAAUGAAACCAAAAAAAAAGGAGAGAAAGAGUCACCAGUCACCAUACUCGGACUCGGCUCGGUAGAAGAUAGCAAAAAUUGCAAAACACGUCCUCUUCAGUCUCCUCUAGAAGAACGCAGAAAUUGCAAAACAUGUCCUCUCCAGUCUCCUCUGUGCAGCAUAAUAGAUGAAAUGAGCAUCCUUACUUAUUAAAUUAUUAAUUAUAACUUUCUAAUUCUAGUAAAUUGCACAAAAAAUAAAUCAAAAUUUUUAGACAAAUCACAUAUUCACAGAUGGAAUACCUUAAGGAAAUUUCGUGUUGAUUAUUGUAAAAUUUAAAUUCGGUAAUUAUCAUAAACUUUCACAGUGUGUUAAGUGUGUUGAUUAGAUGUCUAAUAAAACUAUAACUUACGCAAAUUUUUUUGAAAGCAGAGAUUCUGAAAUUGCAUCAAAUUUCUAAUGAAUCUAUGCUACCUACAGCCUACCUGCCUUGCCUCUUCUUCGACUUCGAAUGGAAAUUGGAAUUAUAGAAUGGAGAUGGAGUGCCGAGUGUGUCGUGUGAAUUAGAGAGUGGAGAAGGGAGGAAAAGGGUUUGGCUUUCUUUCACGAUUUGGGAAUUGGGGGAAUUUGGAUUCUUUCUUGACUGCUUUUGCAAAAAAAUGGUUUCAGCAAGUAUAGUUUGGGCCAAUUCCAAUUACAUAUGAGAAUUCGGUAUUUGGGCUAAACAAAAAUUGGCCCAAUGGCCAACAAUUACCUCAUUCACCUCAGGCUUUAGCAAUACAGCCCAAUUGCCCAGACCAAAAAAAGAAGACGAAGAAACGGGGCGUCUUCUCCUUCUAUCUGUCAUCUUCCUCUCCCUCCAGUCGGCUCUGCAAUAUAGCCCAAUUGCCCAGACCAAAAAAAGAAGAAGAAACGGGGUCGUCUUCUCCUUCUAUCUGUCAUCUUCCUCCCCCUCCAGUCCGCUCUGCAAUUUGCUACGCCUAUUGACGGUUCUGAAGAUUCCCGCGGAGUUAGCACGCGCGGCCGCGCCCCCCUCGCCAAGUGCUGGUUUCGCGCCUGAGUGCGGUGCAUGAUGACUUGGACACUGCCAGCAAAACACGUGCACGGAAGCAACUAGGACUAAAAACGAUUUAUACCUUCGACUCGUCCAAAGUUCUAUAUUUGUUUUAUUUUAGCGUUUUAAGAUUUUGACGGAAAUCUUGAGACAACAACGAUAAUAUCCUAAAAUUUUGGCCAAGAUUUUGAUCCAAUUAUGAGCCAAAAUUUGGAGAAUUUGUGUCAGAUUCUCGUUAUCUAUCUCCCAGUUAAUCAUGUUAUAGAUACAUAUAUAAUAGUUAAUAUAAUUCUUGACAUAAUAUCACGUAGGGAUGUCAACGAGCCGACUCGUGAGCCAAAAUUUUAGGCUCGGGCUCAACUCGAGUAAAACAUCUGAGCUUUUUUUUCGAGCCCGAUUCGGACCGAGCAAAAGAUCGGCAAAAAAAUUAUGCUCGACUCGAGCUUUCGGCUCGAAUUUUGUUUGGUUUUGAAUUUUUUUAAUUAAAAAUAGUAGCUUAUUUAAGCUGCCAUUUAAGUCAGCAGGUUGCUGCCUGCUGCCCAAUUUUUUUUUUUUAAUUAAAUAUAUGCUCGGUUGUCCCGAGCCGACAAUCGAGCCGGCAAGCUAUACGGGUCGGCUCGGAUUUUGCCCGGCACCUAAAAGUGGGGCUCGACCCGAGCCUCGAGCCGGGCGGGCUUGAGCUUUUUUCGAGCUGAGCUGACGAAUCCGAUUGCCAUCCCUAAUAUCACUUGAUAACUUAUCAUUUGACUAUUUAAAACAUAUUCAACUUUUUCAAUCAAUUAAAGGGCAUGUUCUAAAUUAAGGACCCGUUUGAUUGUAAAGAUGAAAUUUGGGUGGAAAAAAAUGAAUUAUAAAGAAUUGAAUUGCUUAGAAAUUGUUUUACUUGGAAUUGUCAAUUUAUUGUGUUUGAUUGGUUUAAUUUUUAAAUAAAAAUGUUGAAAUAAUUUUUUUUGUAUUCGUUUGACUUUGUUUUACAUGAAAAUUGUCAAUUAAAGGGAUAUAAUUUAUUGAAUUUGUUUCCAUUGCAAAAAAAAAAAAAAAUGAAUAAAGCCAACAAAAUCAUUUAUCUUUUAGUGUUCAUUUGACUUUAAUUUAAAUGAAAAUUGUCAAUUAAAGGGAUAUAAUUUAUUGAAUUUGUUUCCAUUGCAAAAAAAAAAAAAAAUGAAUAAAGCCAACAAAAUCAUUUAUCUUUUGGUGUUCACUUGACUUUAAUUUAAAUGAAAAUUGUCAAUUAAAGAAAAAUAUUUUUUUACAGUUCGAGAUAGAAUUUGUUUCCAUUACCCAAAAAAAACAAUAAACUAAGCAACAACCAAGAAAACCAAUUCUCAGCUAACCCACAGGAGUACAAAUUCCUCAUUUUCGUGGAAAACAAGGUCACAUGCCGGAAAACAAAUUGCCAGGAAAAUAUUACCUAUCAAACAUAACAAAAAGUGGAAAAUGACAUUUUCAAUUCCAACUUCCAUGGAAAAUAUAGCGUAUCAAACGGAGCCUAAGAUUUUAAUAAAUUUUAAAAGAUUAUAAAUUCUUAUGAAUUCCAUGGAUUUGAAUGGAUUCUUACAAAUUUCAUAAGAAUCUCAUCAAAUGUGGUGAAAUUUCAAAAGAUUUGGUAAUAUGUACUUUUUAAGUUUUAAGCUUACAAUCCAUCCAAAUAUUCUAAAAUCCUUCGAUUAAUGAAACUUUUACAAAUCCACUAGUUAUUGAGUAUACUUAAAUGUUAAUAGAUUUUAUUAAAUUUUAUUAAAAUCUCAAUUGGAGAUACUUAAAUUUAAUGAAUUUUGUUAAAAUAUAUUAAAAUCUCAAUUGAAGAAACCUAAAUUUAGAAUGACUUAUUAAAUCCAUCACAAUUUUAAUUGAAGGCACCCUCCAAAUCUUGUCAACACCUAUUAUGUAACUAUGUUUAUCACCUACUUUUGGACAAGGUAACAUUUUUCAUCUCCCAGUACAGUAGAUCUUCAAAUCAGGUUCUUUGAAACAUAAAUUGAUUAACACAAGAGGGGGUGAAUAUUGAUUUCACUUUGAUCAUUAUAUCUGCCUGUAACUAAUAAAGAGAAUAAUUAGGGGAGCAAAACAACUCUCUUUAAAGAACUCGAAAAAAUAGUCUCGUUACUACAGAAGAAGGGAUGUCUCCCCUCACAGUGAUCAAGAUCGGACGACUGUUUACAAAAGGUGUAGUGUCUAUCUUUGAAAAAGGAACUGCGGAGGGAAAGCUCCACACUGGAUAGCACAAAGCAUUUGGGCACAUGCUUUGACUAAGAGGCGAAACAAACGUUAAUAUAACCAUCCAAGAGCAAUUUGAUUGGUCUUAAUUUAUUGUCAAGAUGAGUGCGAAAUCGAACAAGCUUUAUUACCAAUUUCGAUGUGUAAAGAUUUAAGAAAGUUCAUCUGCGUACUCAUUUUAGUAUUUAAGAAAGUCAAAAUUUAUUAUAAUCCACGAAAGAAAGAAAUAUUUAAAAAUUUAUUUUUUCUAAUAACGUAUAACAUGUCAUUUGUAAAAAAUAUCGAAGACGGAGAAAUCAAACCGUACCAAAAUGUUUCUAUGAAUUGAAAAUGAUGAUAAUUUAAACGAGGACAAAGAUUCUCUCUCGGUAGUGUAAUACUAAUUUUAGAAGUUCGAUUCAAACAUCAUCAACAUCAUUUUUUGGCAGUAGUAUUAUGAAAAAGACGACUGACUUUUCGGAAAAUUAUCGUAAACAAAAAUUGGCGAGAAUCUAACCAACAUUUGAUGAAACAGGGUAGUAUGAGUCGAGGUCGAAUAACCUCACGUGGUGCUUCAAGUCGAGCUUGACGGUACAGAGUCGAAUGACUUAACUCAUUUAACACUCCUAGAUAUAAUUGACCCAUUGAGCCCAUUUGAUUUUUAACACUAGAUCCAUGUUACUGUUCAUUUAAACAAAUUUAGUCCUGAUCGAACAACCUUUAAAUAUGAUCAAUUCACAUUUAUCGUGCAAAAUUGAAUGAUUCCGAAAUUGAAUAUUCUAUUUUUUACAGUGUAAACUAAAAUUCUUGGAUGUCAAAAGGAUUGUCUUGUCUUGAUUAUUUAUUGUUCUUUCUCCUGUAGAUUUCAGAAUAUAUAAUGAUCAAUAACAACGUUCUUGGAUGUCAAAAUUAAGUGUAAAGGCAGGACCACACGAUAUUAAAAUCUAGAAACAAGAAGACCUCAAUCGAACAAAAAUAAAUUGCAGAAAAUUAAAGGAACACAAAGGAAUUAUUUCGGCCUAAGCCCCGGAGGUUCGGCGACCACAUCUAAUGCCUACAUCCCCGUUGAGCAUCCAAAAAUUUGGAAUAUGCUUGGUUGCACUAAACAGCCAAAAAUGGCAACAGAUUUACAGAUUGUUCAGAGAGAUGAAAAUGAGACUUAUCUCUCAAAUAUAGCAUUGGAUCUACAGAGUUCACUCAGAUCUCAGCCCACAAAACCUUCGAACACCACCAAAAUGAUACAACAAAGAAAUCACUCAGAUUUCUUAACCAUUCACACAUAAUACAAUAAUCGAAGGAAGAUCUCACUAUACUCUAUGUAAAAUCAGAGAUUUUACACAUGAGACAUUCAAAGAGAAUCAACAUCUCUCAAAUCGCCAAUAUUUUUCUGUCUGAAAACCCUAGAGUCGAGAGCAAGAUGAAGGGUUGUGUCUGACGUUCCAGAAGGCUCCAUCGUUUUAACAAAGGGUAUAUGAACCGGUUUAAUCCAACAUCCAGAGAUAGUCCACGUGUUGGCCAUUCAGUAAAGUGUCAACACUUAUUAAAUUGCGUUUGAUAAAAACAUGGUUUUAUCACAAAUCAAAUUCUGGAAGCAUUAAAUCAACGAGAACAGGGUUCGACUCCAACAAUCUCUACCUUGCUGCCAGAAUUUGAGCUAUUAGUGCAGCCAGGAGCAUGAUCUUACGUCUUUUUCAUUUGCUUCAAGUACCUGUAUACGAAUCACAAAGAAUCAACAGAUAAAAGUUUCAAGCAGUUCAAGAAUUUGUUUAAAGGAAUUACUUUUGUACCCAUAUCAGAUGGAUUAAACCGAGUAGAAACUUUUUCAAUCUUAAUUUCACCUUUUGAGAUUAUAUCUCUUAUAAAAUGAUAUUUAACAUCAAUAUGUUUUGACCUAUCAUGGAACAUGGGAUUUUUACUUGGGUGAAUAGCACUUUGGUUAUCAGAAAAUAGCACAAUGUGGUUAUCAUUGAAACCCAUUUCAGACAAUAAACCAUUCAACCAUAUUCCUUCUUUAACAACAUCAGUUGCAGCUAUAUAUUUUGCCUCAGUUGAGGACAAAGCCACAACUUUCUGGAGUUGAUAUUUUCAACUGAUAGCAGUACCACACAGUGUAUAAAAAUAAGAUGAGGUUGACUUUCUAUUAUUUCUAUUGCCAGCAAAAUCGGAAUCAGUAUACCCUUUUAAACUUAUUUCAUUUUUAUCUGAUUUAAACAUUAAGCCUAAAUGUAAUGAUCCCUUAAGAUAUCUCAAUAACCAUUUUAAGGCAUACCAAUGUUCUUCACCAGGGUUACUCAUAAACCUACUUAAAAUGCUAAUAUUAUAUGCAAAAUUAGGUCUGGUGCAUAUCAUCAAAAACAUCACAGAGCCAAUUACAUUAGCAUAUGAAAUUUUUGACAUUCUGGCAUAUUCAUCUUCAGAUUUAGGACAAAAUUCAGAAGACAAUCUAAAAUGACUAACAAGCGGCAGUGUUACAGGCUUACAAUCAUGCAUGUUGAAUUUUUUCAAGAUUUUAAACACAUAGUCACAUUGAUUUAAAAACAACAUAUUUUUAUCCUUGUUUCUCCAAAUAUGUACGCCCAAUAUUCUUCUAGCAGCACCAAGGUCUUUCAUAUCAAACUCGGAACUUAACUUUGAUUUAAUGUCAUCAAUUUUUGAUUUAUCAGAACUAGCCAACAACAUAUCAUCCACAUAGAGAAUCAGAUAUAAUGAGUUUUUAACUCCGCUACCUUUGCAGUACAAGCAAGUAUCAUAUUGGCUUCUUUUAAAUCCAACUUUCAAGACAAAAGUGUCAAAUCUUUUGUACCACUGCCUAGGUGUCUGCUUUAGGGCAUACAAGGAUUUCUUUAACAAACAGUGUUUUCAGGAUCACCUUUCUCAAAAUCAAUUGAUUAUCUCAUGUAUAUUAUUUCAUCUAAUUCCCCAUAAAGGAAAGCAGUUUUAACAUCUAGUUGAUCAAGUUCCCAUUUAAAUUGUGUAACAAGUGCAAGUAGACAUCUGAUAGUAACAUACUUAGCAACAGGAGAAAAAAUUUCAGUGUAGUCCACACAUUCUUUUUGUGUGAAACCAUUUGCUACAAGUCUGGCUUUAUAUCUAAUAUUGUUAUCAUCACCUUCUCCAGAUUUUAUCUUAUAAAUCCACUUGUAAUCAAUCAAUCCACUUUCUAAGAAUUUGUAUACGUCCUUGACCCAUAAUUAUGUUAAACUCAUUGUCAUCUAACAUUCCUAAGGUCACUAAGUUCCUUUUCAAAUUUGGGACAUGUCUUGUGUUCUCUAGGAACAAAAUAUUACCAUUUUCUAAUAAUAAUUUGACAGUCCCAAUUCCACUCACUUUACAUGCAAAGUUGUUGCCCAUUAUAACCUGUCCCCCUUUGAUUCUUUAUAAGUUUAUAAAACAAUUUUUAUUGGGACACAUAUGAAAAGAACAUCCUGAGUCAAGUAUUCAUUCAUCAGUUAGGCAUUUUUUAGCACUUACUAACACAAAACCAUUUUUGUUUUAGUUUUGUCAUAGGCCAGUGCAUUGCUUCUAUCAAGACCUUUUUUUUGAAUCAUUUUUCUUUUUAAAACAAUCUUUUGCAAAAUGACUAAGUUUACCACAAUCAUAACAUUAUUUACCUUUUGCAUUACUCUUGGUCUUACUUCUGUCAACCCAUCUCCGAUUUGUUUUUGAAAACUUAAAAUUUUGUGUAGGUUUUUCAAAAGAUUUUCCUUUAGUUAAAAAACUAGUUCCAGUGUGACUGUUACUUAACUCAGCCUUGAUUUCUAAAGCUUUAUUCCUCAAAGCAUUGGUUAUAUCAUCAACAGUGAGUUCAUCACUACCAUAUUCAAGGGCAACUUUAAUAUCCUUGUACUUGUCACUUAUGGAGUUUAACAAAACUACAGUCAAUUGAUCUUUUGAAAGUUUUUCAUUACAAUUGGUCAAGUCUUGGGUAUGUUUUGUGAACCUACUAAGGUUCUCUUCUAAGUCAACUACAGGAUCCAUUUUAAAGGAUAAGAAUUGUUUUAAAAGAAAACAUUAGUUUGGAGUGGUUUUGGUCUCAAACUUAGCCUUAAGUUUGGCCCAAAGAUCAGAGGCAGUAGUAGUUUCACCUACCUCUAUGAUCACAUUAUCAGACAAAUACAGAAAUAUAGUACUCCAAGCAAUUUCCUCAAGUUCAAAUUUUUUAUUAGGAGCUAAGCCCUCAGGCCAUGAAUCAUCUAAAGACUUGGCACAUUUCAUUAGCAUCAAAAUUGCUCUCAUUUUCUGACUCCACAUAUCAAAAUCAAUUUUACCAACAAACUGACUAACUUCAAUUUAGCAGUAGCCAUAGUGCAGACAAAUUUUCAUGUAAAGAUCAAUUUGGACUUACAGUAGUUUAAACGGGGGAGUCAAGAAAUGCCAAUUUGUAUCAAGUUUGAAGUACAGUAUAACACAUAGUAAUACAAAGUUUCACAAUUCUCGCAAUAUUGGAAGAAAACAAGCAAGAUCAAUUAACAGACAACAAUCACAGAGAUUGAAUACAAGGUUUCACAGUUCUCUCCAGCAAGAUUCUCCAAGUGCACACCCGUACUUGAUUUAUCUCAUAUUUCAGGGGCCUCGCAGGAGUCACUGGACAAAGAUUAGUCUCAAGGGGGUUUCAACGGUGCAUCAAAAAAUCAAGGGAAAAUUUAGGACACUCAAGUUUUUGAAAGUUAAUUUACGAAAAAUUAAAAAAGAUCUCACCUAGCGAGUUGAAUAACUCGUAUUGUUCUCAAUCUGCGUUUUCAGCAGUUCCAAAAAUUCAAGACCGUUGCAGGUCCACCAGUUUCUCUAAGAUCCAGGUGUCUUGUUCCUUUGGACGGGGCUCUGAUACCACUGUAAAGGCAGGACCACACGAUAUUCAAAUCAAGAAAUAAGAAAACCUCAAUCGAAGAGAAAUAAAUUGCAGAAAAUUAAAGGAACACAAAGGAAUUAUUUCGGCCUAAGCUCCGGAGGUUCGGCAACCACAUCUAACGCCUACAUUCCCUGUUGAGCAUUCAAAGAUUUGGAUUAUGCUUGGUUGCACUAAACAGCCAAAAAUGACAACAGAUUUACAGAUUAUUCAGAGAGAUGAAAAUGAGACUUAUCUCUCAAGUGUAGCAAUGGAUUUACAGAGAUUCACUCAAAUCUCAGCCCACAAAACCUUCGAACACCACCAAAAUGAUACAACAGAGAAAUCACUCAGAUUUCUUCACCAUUCACACAGAAUACAACAAUAGAAGGAAGAUCUCACUAUACUCUAUGUAAAAUCAGAGAUUUUACACAUGAAACACUCAAAGAGAAUUAACAUCUCUCAAAUCGCCAAUAUUUUUCUCUCUAAAAACCAUAGAGUUGAUAGCAAAAUGAAGGGAUGUGUCUGACGUUCCAGAAGGCUCCAUCGUUUUAACAAAGGGCAUAUGAACCGGUUUAAUCCAACGUCCAGAGAUAGUCCACGUUUUGGCCAUCCAGUAAAAUGUCAACACUUAUUAAAUCGUGUUUGAUAAAAACACGAUUUUAUCACAAAUCAAAUUCUGGAAGCAUUAAAUCAAGGAGAAUAGGGUUCGACUCCAACAUUUAAAGUUGUUAAAUUUUAACUGCAAAACUUCAAAUCAUAAAUAUAGCAUGACGCCAUUUUCAACGCUGUAUCAAAUUUUGCACCAAAUUAAAAUUCAUCUACAAUCAUUAUAGCAAAAUUUACACCAAAUGAACAAUAUUUAACCAUUUUCUUUCCCCUUUUUUAUUCUUUAUAAUUUAUUUAUUUGAAAUAUUAUUUAUUUAAUUAUUUUAUAAUUACAUGAAUUACUAAAUAAAUACUAAUGUUAUAUUACGGAAAAGAUUAAUUUCAUUAAUAAAUAUAAAAAAACAUAGUAUAAUUAAUAAAAACAUUAAAACACGAAAAAAUUAUAUCAUGCCAUCAAAAAAUAGUAGAUUAUCAUAUGUAUAUCGUUGUUUACUAAACUAUGCAUUUUUUUUUAUGUAUCAUUUUCUUUAAAUAAAAUUAGAUUAUCAAAUGUACGUCGUUGUUUAAUAUAUUUCGUGUUAACUGUAAUAAAUAAUUGUGUUUUUUAUGUUUUAAAUUUUCUUCUUCUUUUAAUUAAUUCAUUAAUUAUUAUUCCUUAUAUUUAAUGCAAAUAGUAAUAAUAAUAAUUUAUUGUACUAAAAAAUAUAUAGCACAAAUGACACAAAUACAUUUAAUCAAUUUAUUUGGAAAAGAAUAAGAUAGGGCAAAAAAGACUUUGACCACUUUGCACCAUUUUGCACCAAAAUGGUGCAAAGUAUAGUGUUCCAUUGAAGCUCAUUUGCACCAAAAAAUGGUGCAUUUUGGUGUUUUGGCGUUGAAGAUGGUAUGAGACAAACAAAUUGUAACAUCUGAACAUAAUUGGAAAUUCUUAGUGCUCCAAAUAACAAGAAGUCAAGAAUUAUGAUCUUCUAAUGGAAAAUUAUGCACUGGUACUUGUAGCAGCCCUUAACGUGAGCCUAGCGUUUUCAAGAUAUUUAAUGAAAUCAUCAAUGUAGCUAUCGUGUAAUUUCUUGUUCCCAAAUAUUUCACUCAUUUCUUUUGCUUUGUCUCGAAAUUUCUUCCCCUCAUUUUCAACCAUUACCAACUUUAUCGAGUCGGACACAGUGUUCUUCGUAUAUGAUCCGUCUUCUUCGUUUUUCGGGACUUCUAUGCCAACCUGCUUGUCAGCAAUGAUUCUAGCAUUCAAACCUUGAUCAACCAGAAAAGGUAAGGCAAUUAAUGGAUGACCAAAAGAGAGACCCUCUAUAAAAGAACUCCAACCACAGUGAGUCAAGAAAGCACCCACCGAGUCAUGACUCAAUAUCUUCAGCUGAGGUGCCCAACUUUUCCACACCAUACCCCGACCCUUAACUCUCUCCUCGAACCCGUCUGGUAAAAUCACCGAGUAGGAACCGUCCGACCCAGAUGGCUUCCUCAGUGCCCAAAAGAAGGGAACAUCCGAUAACUCCAAUCCAAGAGCUAACUCAUAGAUUUGAUCUUGACUCGGAGUCACCUCGCUCCCUAAUGCUACGUAAACAACUGACUGUAUAUUUUGAUCAUCAAGCCAAGUUUUGAUUGCAACCCAUGAUUGACUGUCAUCUUCUUCCACUUGGGGUGGCAUUAAACCUACUGGAAUAACUGGCUUAUGGUGAAGCUCUUCAAGUAAUUUCAACCAAUCCGGUUCAAACUCGUUGCAGUGUCUUAUGAAUAUAACCUCGGACCCAUGAAUUACGUUACCUCCUCGAUAAAUAUCUGAAACUCCUGAGUCAUUCUUUUGAUUUGAUGCGACGAUCCAGUUUGCUUCGGAUCUUCGAUAAGCCACUUUUGUCUCAAAUCGGACCCACUUUGGUGGAAUCAUAAACUCUUCAGCUUUUUUCCUUUCAUCAGACCCGUUAAUCAAGAUCUCAGAUGGCCCAAAGAAAGCUAAAAACCAUGCGUUCAUUAUCAUAAAAAAGGCACGAGAAAUUUCAAGUCUUGCUGCAACUGGAGGCAACCAGUGUGGAGCAAAAUCGUAGAGAACCCAAUCUGGAAGUGAGUUUUCCAAGAAACGAGUCAACUCAGUUUCCAUCCCAUCAAAUGCUUUCUUCAAAUAGGGUAUAUCUUCAUUCCUGAUAUCCAUGGUUGCCGCUGCAGAUUCAGGGAGUCCUUCAACUUUAGGCAGAGGAAUCUUAACUAGGGUUAUGGAAGAAACUAAAUGAGAAGGGAUUUUUGGGAGACGAUCAAUAUUUCUUGGAGUGGAAACAAAUGAGAUUUUGUGACCCUUUUGAGCUAUGAAUUUAGAGAGCUCAAGGAAUGGAAUAAUAUGACCAAAAGCUAACCAUGGGAACAUCACUACAUGUAAUUUGGAAUUGUUAGCCAUGGAUAUUAGAUUCCAGUUUUGCAGAAAUUUUCACUGGCCUAUCACCCAAUUUAUCGAGGGACAUCUAAGCAGACCACGCGUAUUAUUAUAUUAUUAUUAUAUAUUUCAGGAAUAAACAGGAGAAUCAUUGGUUUUGUGAUUUGAUUGAUUUAUGAAUUUAGCCGCCGUUUAGAGAUCAUUUUACCCAAAAUCUCAUUAAUCUAAAGUGAAAAACUAAUUAAAAAAUGCAAAAGUUGAAGUUACUUUGUCAGACAUUAAUUUGCAUUUAUUGGACAAUUGGAAAUCGAUUGGAUGCAUUUGCCUAUAAUAACAUGUCAAGGGCAAAUUUGGACAAUGAAGUGAAUUAUAUGAAACACUUGGUCGAAAAAUCGAAAAAUGGUUAAGUCGAAAAAUGGUAGGCUUGGUAGCUGUCUUGAUCCAAAUGAUGCAACAAUUUCAUUUGUUUUUCGUUUAAAUGAUGAGAGAGAUGACGUUGACACUUGAUAAUGAUUCCAUUCCAUUAAAAGAAAAAAUGUGAUUGUUGCAGUCAUUUGAGCCCACACCUGAAAGAAGAGGCCAACAAUUGCAGCUAGAAAUUAUUAAUAAUGGUACAAUUUUUCAUUUUUUUGCCCAAAUAAUGUGGUCCAAACAGGGGUUUAGGAUUAUUCUUCGUGUACUAGAGGUUCACAAAAUCCCUACCGAUUACUCACAGUAGAUGGGUAAAUGAUGAAAAAGAUGACGUUGACAGUUGAUAACAAUGCUUUAUAUUUAGAAUUAGUCUCGAUGUACAGAAUCACCCACAUGUUGUGAGUAGUCGAUAAAAACACCUACCAGAAAUAAUUGUUAUAUUUAUUGCUAUAAAACUUUCGAAGCAAGAGAUAUUGUAAAAUAUGGAGGCAAAUGGGGCAAAAGAAGUCUCGUGUUAGACCCGGCUUCUUGUAAGUAAAUGGUGUUUCAUUUUUGUACGCGUCUCAAAAUCUACAAGUGAUUAUUAGACUAUUAUUAUUUUGCAUGUUCUGGCACAUGAUAUUUAAAUUAGUUCUAAAGCUUUGUUUAACGGAGAAGGAAAGACAAAGAUAAACAGUCCCAAUUCCCCAAGUUGGGUGAACUUUGAUUAGGCCUCGGAAAAAGUCGAGGUGGGUUUGAAAAUAUAACAAGAUUCCAAAUUAAAACACAAUUAGUUGGAAUUUUGCGGGAAAUUUUGUAUUAUCUGGUAAAUGAAAAAUUAAGUCAAAUUUAAAUCACUUAAAUACGUGAAUUAUUGAAAGAGUGCGUAGAAUAUUAUGGAAUAUUUUAGAAAUUAUUUGGCUGAAAAUGUGUCUUUUUAUAUAAAAGAUUAUGAUUUUUGAUAUUAUCAUUUUUCAAGAAAUGUGUCUCUUUAAAUAUAGAGAUUAAUUCCAAUAGUUGUGUCUUUUCCAUAGAUUGUAUCUUUUGAGACAAACAUUUUUAACAUCUAUAUAUUAACCCUAUAUGUUUGGAUUUAAUUUUAAGAAUUUCAUUUCAUUCCAUAAUUCCAUAUUAUUUAUUUCAUGUCAAGUUACUUAAAAUACUUUGUAGAAAUAAUUAUGUCUUGUAUCAAAGUCAUGUUUAUGGUAGAGAGAGAAUUUCAUUCGAGUUCCUGGUCGAAGUCAUUUGGAGUGCUCCUAUGGCUUGACGUGAUCGUUUUAUCUUCGAAGAUGAUUGCUGGAAAACCGUUAGCACCGAUGCGAGACAUAUUCAUCUUAAGGACCAAGUGUCAAACACUUGCCUUGUCCAAAAAUUCAUCACUUGUAUCUUUCUUCCUUCAUUUUCUGAUUUCUCUUAAUUAUGGUUUGAUUUCAGACACUGAUUAACAUUAUUUAUAUGAUUGUUCUGCGAGGUUUGAUUCAAAUAAUAACUUGAUUUCGUUCAAGAAUCGAAAGAGAUGAAUCCAUAUUCAUACAUUCGGAUUCGAUAACUAUUAUUGUUUUGCUUUUCAAAUUCUAUUUCGAUAAGUCGAAAUUACGUUUCGAUUAUAUGCAAAUAAACAAUAUGCUUUUGUGAAUAUAAUAUGCAUAUAAUCGAUGUAUUCCCCAACACAAUUUUGGCGAGUUAUUAAAUUUGAAUUCAAUUGGUCCCUCUAUAGAAAACUUGAUAAAUGUAUUAUUAUUAUUCAGUUCAUUCAAAUAUAAAUGGACAAAUAUAUAAUUGAAUCAACAAUGACACGUCAAAUCGAGUGAAUCGAUUGAUUUAAAUCAACACAUUUUGAAAAUAAAAAAGCCAUCAGGACAGGUUCAAAACCAGGCCUAAAUACAUGGGGCGUUGCCUGAUUUUGAACCUGGCCAAAAAGCAGGAUUGUUUUGAAAAUUUACAAAAUAGAAGUGCAAAUAUUUGAACCAAUCACAUCGGGUAUGCAAGAGUCAUAUUUUUCAAUUGGAAUACCCCCAUUAUUUGAUAGAAUUGGCUCUUGUUUGAGCUCCAUUAUUUUCAUAAAAAUGUAUUUUUGAAUAGUGUAUUGAUGGAAAAUGUAUAGUUAAAUAGAUUUGCAUGUAAUAUUAUUUUAUUGAAGAAUAUAUGGUUAAAAUGAUAUUAAAACACCAUAAUGUACACGUGGCAUAACAUCUUUGCAGGGUUGGAAAAUAGUGUACGUUAUGGACAUCCUUAUGAAUACCAUAAUCUACAUGUAACAUAACCCACGAAACAUACAUCACAUACUUUUUAGAUAUUUUUCAAAAAAAAAAAUUAUAUAUAUAUAUAUGUGUGUGUGUGUGUGUGUGUGUGUAGAGAGAGAGAGAGAAGUUAUAUGAAAAACUCAUAGUUAUAUCUAUGCCCCCCUUUUUUGAAAAUAAAUAAAUAAAUCACCUUCAGACUCUGCAAUAUUUUAUCAAUUGACAAGUUACCUACUGACCUAGUGCUUUGGCUAGAUUAAUGAUCAGAUUGGACGUGAUAGCUAUUGUACCAUUGAUGCAAGAAAAGAUCAAAACGGACAUUGCACCAUUUGAUGCAAAAAAUGGUGCAAUGAACAGUGUUGUACCAUUUUGCACAAAAUGGUGUAAUAGGUAGGGGUGGGCACGGGUCGGUUCGAUUCAGUUCGGUUCUCUUUAGAACCGAACCGAACCGAACCAAACUUUUCGGGUAUCUAGUAAAUGAAACCGUCGGGUCCAAAUAUAAUUAUGGAACCGUUCAGGUUCGGUUCCAUUCGAUUCAGUUAGGUUCAGUUCGGUUCCGUUCGAUUCUGUACUAUAAUUAAAUUUUUUAACAUUUAUAACAACAUUAUAUAAAUACGACUAAUGAUAUAUUCAAUGGUUUUGGAAUGUCAGAGACUAGAAAACUACCUUGUUCAAAUGAUUGCUACGAUCAAAACUUCGGUCGGCGAAAGUCACGGCUUCGAUCGGAGGUCAUAGUGUCGGCCGACGAUUGUAUAAGUUUUGGAAUAUUAGCGAGGCUGCGAGAGUGAGUGUGAGAGUCGAGACAAUAUUAUGCACUUUAUUGUAGGUGUUUAGGGUUAUUUAGUGGAUUUGAUCUUGUUUGGCUAAGAAAUGAAACAAUAAAAUGGGUAAUUGGGCCAAAAAUUAAAAAAAUUAGAAAUGAAACAAAUUAUUGGGCCAAAAAUUUGGAUUUAGAAAUCAUUGAUUUGGUAAUUUGUUUAGAAAAAAUUAUAUUAAAAUAAUUUGAUUUACUCAAUAUAAAAAAAUAAAAAAUUAGAAAUAUUUGGUUCUUAUCCGAUUUUUCGGUUCUUGGUCUAGAACCGAGAAUCGAACCGUACCCGUCGGUUCUCAAUUCAGAUACCCGUUCGGGUAUUUAAUUUGACAAGAACCGUCGGGUUCGGUUCGGUUCGGUUAGGGUUUGAUCGGUUCGGUUCGAGAGAUUUGCCCAGCCAUAGCAAUAGGGCACCAAUUGGAGAUGGCCUUAGAAGUUAGAACUACAAAAUGUGUUGAUCUCUUUUGGCUACCACAUGUCUCAAUGCUUUUCUUUCUUUCUUUCUUUCUACUUUUCAGGUUUUGUAGACCAUUAAUUUGUUUCAUUGAGCUCCAAUGUAAUCAAAAUGGAUGUGUCAAUCAAUGAGUAUUGAUGAAAGAAGCAACUCAUUAAUUCUGAUAACUGUCAGAAGGGGCAGGAACUGCUUUGGAUAGAUCUUAAGGGCAAAGUACUCAUUCCGGGCAUGACUCGGAAGAUGCACGGAUGGGGUUUCUCUCACUUUUGGCAUAGCGGUCCCCAUGAUGCUUAGCCGGUCUUUACGGACGAUCGGCCACACUGGGAUUGAGACACAACUCAGAUGCAUGCCAAUGGGACUCUGCAAUACGUCUAUUGGAAUUGGCUCUGUAUCAAUAGAAUCUCAUCAUCCAUACAUAACGAAUUCGGAUCCUUUAUGGAAGAUGAGUAAAUUCCUAGAUCUAAGAUGUGAACAAAAUUCUACCUAUAACACCUAUGUCACUGCUUGAUCAAACCAAGCCUCCACAAUUUCAGAAUCUUUCUAGCUAAUGGCUUGUUCUAGCUUUCACGUCUGCGCAUAGAAUCAUUUUCCCUCUAUUCAAAUUUGCGUGUCGCUUGAUCAAUAAAAAUCAUCAAAAAAUGCAAUGAACAGUGUUGUACCAUUUUCCACCAAAAUGGUGCGACAUGGCACCAGUUGGAGAUGGCCUUAGAAGUAAGAAUUACAAAAUGUGUUGAUCUCUUUUGGCUACCACGUUGUUGUCUCAAUCACUUUUUUUUUCUUUCUUUCUAUUUUUUCAAGUUUUAUGGACCAUUAAUUUGUCUCAUUGAGUUCCAGUGUAUUCAAAAUGGAUGUCUCAUUCAAUGAGUAUUGAUGAAAGAAGCAAUUCAUUAAUUCCUAUAACUGCCAUAAGGGAUAGAAACUGCUUUGGAUUUAGAUCUCCAGGGCAAAGUACUCAUUUCGGGUAUGACUCGGAAGAUGCAGGAAUGGGGUUUCUCUCAUUUUUGGCAUAGCGGGCCCCAUGAUGCUUACCUGGUCUUUUCGGAUGAUCACUCACACUAGGACUGAGACACAGCCCGGAUGCACGCCAACGGGACCCUCCAAUAAGUCCAUUGGAAUUGGCUCUGUAUCAAUGGAAUCUCAUCAUCCAUACAUAACGAAUUCGACCCCUUCAUGGAAACUGAGUAAAUUCCUAGAUCUAAGAUGUGAACAAAAUUCUACCCAUAACACCUAUGUUAUGCUUGAUCAAACCAAGCCUCCGCAAUUUCAAAAUCUCCCUGGCGAAUGGCCUGUUCUAGCUUUCACGACUGCGCAUAGAAUCCUUUUUCCCCUAUUCAAAUUCAGGUGUCGCCUGAUCAAUAAAAAAGCAUCAAAUAAUGCAAUGAACAGUGUUGUACCAUUUUGCACCAAAAUGGUGCAAUAGGGCACCAAUUGAAGAUGACCUUAGAAGUUAGAGCUACAAAAUGUGUUGAUCUCUUUUAGCUACCAUGUUGUUGUCUCAAUCAUUUUUUUUAUUUCUUUUUAUUUUUUAGGUUUUAUGGACCAUUAAUUUAUCUCAUUGAGCUCCAAUGUAUUCAAAAUGGAUGUCUCAUUCAAUGAGUAUUGAUGAAAGAAUCAACUCAUUAAUUACGAUAUUGCCAGAAGGGGCAGAAACUACUUUGGAUAGAUCUCAAGGAUAAAGUACUCAUUCUGGGCAUGACUCGAAAGAUACAAGGAUGGGGUUUCUCUCGUUUUUGGCAUAGCGGGCCCCUUGAUGCUUAGCUGGUCUUUUCAGACGAUCAGCCACACUGGGACUGAGACACGACCCGAAUACACGCUAAUGGAACCCCCCAAUAAGUCUAUUGGAAUUGGCUAUGUAUCGAUGGAAUCUCAUCAUCCAUACCUAACGAAUUCGACUCCUUCAUGGAAGAUGAGUAAAUUCCUAGAACUAAGAUAUGAACAAAAUUCUACUCAUAACACCUAUGUCACUGCUUGAUCAAACCAAGCCUCUACAAUUUCAGAAUCUCCCUGGCGAAUGGCCUGUUCUAGCUUUAACGUCUGCGCAUAGAAUCCUUUUUUCCCAGUUCAAAUCCAGGUGUCGCCUGAUCAACAAAAAGCAUCAAAUGGUGCAAUGAACAUUGUUGUACCAUUUUGCACCAAAAUGGUGCAAUAGGGCACCAAUUGGAGAUGGCCUUAGAAAUUAGAACUACAAAAUGUGUUGAUCUCUUUUGGCUACCAAGUUGUUGUCUCAAUCAUUUUCUUUCUUUCUUUCUUUCUAUUUUUCAGGUUUUAUGGACCAUUAAUUUGUCUCAUGAGCUCCAAUGUAUUCAAAAUGGAUGUUUCACUCAAUGACUUAUGGCCCCAUUUUUAUGUCAUUUUCAAAGCAGCAUGCCCUUUUGGUAAUGGGUUUAGGGUACUUGUGUAAUUUUAAUUGGCCAAAGCAGGGUAUUUCUGGUAUUGACUUUUCAAUGAGCAUUUUACUUUUCCUGUUCAUCUCACAAGUAUAUUGACAAAUCUAAAAAUUUUAAUUCAUCGGCAUUGUGGGAAAAUGUUUUUUGGUCAAGUAUUCUCAUUUUAAUGAGAAUCAAAUAGGGGCAUAACUUGUGGAUACCACAUUUUUGAGAGAGAGAGAGAGAGAGAGUAAACACAAUAAUAUUCCAUUGAAUUUUCAUUGAAGUUAUAAAAUAAAAUUAUUUCUAUCUGAUUUCUUCUAGAUGGUUCAUAUAAUGAAGAUGAAAAUUCACUAAAUUAUCAUUAAUGAAUCUAUCUUUAAAAUCAAUCUAAUCAAAAACGAUUUUCAAAAUGUCUUUAUGGGAGCAACCUGGGCAAUAAAGCGGAUGGGGCCUAUGGGAGAAAAGAGAGCCAUAAAGUCUAAGAAACUGAAAUGGAAUUAACUAUAGAGAACAACUUACCAUCUGUCCUUGCUUUACAUUUUUUUUAAUCUCCACAAUAAGUUUCUUUUCUUGUGCCUGUAAAAAGUCAUUUUCCUUCCAGUUUCUUAGAUGGGUUUAUCAAGCAUCCUCUUCUUUUACCAAAGCUCUGAAAAACAUAGUGUAGAAUUUGAAAUUAGAAAGUGGCUUAACUAGAAUAUUAAUAAAAUUAAUUAUGGUACAUAGAUUAUAGAUAACACCAAUCUUACCUCAAUCCUAAUCAGGAUAUUUGGUAGCCAACACAUUUAGAAUAUGGAAAAUAUUAUAGUCACAUAAAAUGGAUCCGGUAAAAUAAUGGAGCGUUUAUUUUGAGAAUAAUUUCUAUAAAUAAUUGAUAUAGGAUCAAUUUAAUACAAAUAAACUUACAAAAAUUUCUUCAAGAUCCUAAGAAGAAUAUGCUUGAACAAUUUUUUCCUUCUCUCUUAUCUUAUACCUGGAGAUAUAAAAAUCAAAGAGGGGAAAAAUCAUAUACUAUGCAAUCAAAAAAUAGUUACUAAUCUAUUGUCAUUGUAAUCUUAUUUAGACAUAGCUAAUCUUAUAUCUCCAAUAUAGCGGUCAUUUAAUAUCAGGAUAUAACAAAAUGUUAUUAAGGCAUAGCUAUUAACAAAAGAACAAUCAUAAGUUAAUCAUAGAUAACCUCUAAACAUGAUCAACAUAUGAUAAGAGUUAUAAGAAUAAAAAUGAGCACCUAAGGCGACGUUUGCAAUGAUAGAAAGAUCGGUUCAACCGAAGAAAAAAAGACCCCCUAGGUCUUCGAAGCAAGUAUUAGAUGAAUAAAUAAGCAUGAGAAGAUCAUAGACUGAUUCAAAUAUUAUGUAUGGAGACAGAUACAAAAAUGGAACUUCUAAAGCAACUAACCUUAAAAAAUAUAAGGUUUUGAAAGUGAUUUAUGCUUUUUCCAUCCAGAAUCAACAACUUUGUCAACCAUAGGAACGUACUCAUCAUAUCGUGAUAAGUUGCCG
This 54760-nucleotide long non-coding RNA is filed under the name Olea europaea (common olive). RNAcentral's name for it is "long non-coding RNA (OEUR_LNC002558)". The record is from RNAcentral. Lineage: Eukaryota; Viridiplantae; Streptophyta; Magnoliopsida; Lamiales; Oleaceae.